Molecule: long non-coding RNA, 57622 nt
Filed under: Lactuca sativa (garden lettuce)
Lineage: Eukaryota; Viridiplantae; Streptophyta; Magnoliopsida; Asterales; Asteraceae
Source: RNAcentral
CCCAAAGCGAACAAUAUUGUGAUACGUGCCAGAGGGGGAUGUUACAAAUGGUAUUAGAGCUAGGGCACGGGUCGAUGUGUUCGACGGGGACAUCGAACCCUAUAAUGGGGGGUGAAAGUGGGUUGGACUGUGAUUUGGGUCAAUCUGUUGGGUCUGCUGUGCAAUAUCUGGCUUGCCCGUUCCAAGUCGAGAGUUGAUUCUUGUGCCUCGAGCGAAGGCUUGGGUUACGUGGAACUUAGAGUAGGGGACAACGCGUUAGGCUGGCUUCACAGAGCUGCGAUAACCCCUCGCUCCCGACAGUGGAAGGAUUACAAGCCUCGGCUCUUCAGUCCCAUCUUAGCCGGCUGCCCUCACGGCUUUAAAACGCGUUGUGAUAGGGAAGGUAUCCACACCCCUUAUAAGGAAUGCUUAGUUCUCCUUCCCAGCCGAUGUGGGAUCAGANUACCCAAGUCAGACGAACGAUUUGCACGUCAGUAUCGCUGCGGGCCUCCACCAGAGUUUCCUCUGGCUUCGCCCCGCUCAGGCAUAGUUCACCAUCUUUCGGGUCCCGACAGGCAUGCUCACACUCGAACCCUUCUCAGAAGAUCAAGGUCGGUCGGCGGUGCACCCCGCUAGGGGGAUCCCGCCAAUCAGCUUCCUUACGCCUUGCGGGUUUACUCACCCGUUGACUCGCACACAUGUCAGACUCCUUGGUCCGUGUUUCAAGACGGGCCGAAUGGGGCGCCCGCAGGCCGGUGCCGGGAGCGCGCAGGUGCCGAGGCACGCCGUGACGGCGCGCGCUGCCAACCAUGAUCGACGCGACGACAUCUCCACGGGCCUAUCAACAGUCCGGGCUUUGGCCGCCGCACCAAUCCGCACCGGACCAAUAUUGUGAUACGUGCCAGAGGGGGAUGUUACAAAGUUAAAGUGGGUUAGAUCUGACCCCACAUCGGCUGGGAAGGAGAACUAAGCAUUCCUUAUAAGGGGUGUGGAUACCUUCACUAUCACAACGUGUUUUUAAAGUCGUGAGGGCAACAGAUCCCAGAAGAAGUCUGCAGUUAAGCGUGCUCGGGCAGGAGUAGUACCAGGAUGGGUGACCCCCUGGGAAGUCCUCGUGCCGAGGGGCCCAAAGCGCACAAUAUUGUUAUACAUGCCAGAGGGGAUGUUACAAAUGGUAUCAGAGCCAGGGCACGGGUCGAUGUGUUCGACAGGGACGUCGAACCAUAUAAUGGGGGGUGAAAGUGGGUUAGAUCUGAUCCCACAUCGGCUAGGAAGGAGAACCAAACAUCUCCAUAUAAGGGGUGUGGAUACCUUCCUUGUCACAACGCGUUUUAAAGCCGUGAGGGCAGCAGAUCCCAUAAGAACUCUGCAGUUAAGCGUGCUCGGGCGGGAGUAGUACCAGGAUGGGUGACCCCCUGGGAAGUCCUCGUGCCGAGUGGCCCAAAACGGACAAUAUUGUGAUACGUGCCAGAUGGGGAUGUUACACAUCAAACCUAAAAGAAAAAUAAAAAUAAAAAUAAAAGAUCUUUAAAGUUCUAUUUUGAGUUUUAAAAAAUAUAUGUUGUAUACGGAUAAUCUUCUACACUGAUUGGGCAAUUAAAAUGAUCACAAAAAUGGUUCAUUAGCCAACGAAUUAUAACCAGAAUUAUAACCGCAAAAAAAUUAUGUUCACCAUUCAAAUUAUAUUGUUAUGUGGAUAUCAAUUUGACAAUUUUAUCAUUUUCUUUCCUUGGAAGAUAUCAUGCAACUAUUUAAUGGAAAUAAAGAAACAAUGAGUAUAACCCAAUAAAGACAUAAAAGUCAAACACUUAUCAUGCAUCAAAAAAUAUGUGAGAAAGUCUUAUUCUUAAAUCCACUUUGUGGAUCACACAUGCACCAGAGUCAGAAAUUGGUUGCAAACAAAUCUAUUUAAACGAUUGCAAUGAUACUUACUAAAACAAACUUAAACAAAUUAAAUCAACUAACAUCGAAUUUUGAAAGUGUACAUUCGUCACCGGUAGAGGAUGGCAUCAAGACCAACACCUUUUCAAAUCCUACAAGCAAAUCCUCGAUGUUAGGUUAAACCAUUCAAAUCGAUUCAGGAAGGUUUGUGGGUAGUCGAAUAUUUGUAAUCCCAUAAAAGAUGCGAUAAAAGAUUAAUCAUGGAAGGUUGUUAUACAAUUCAAAUAUGAAAGAAUAUAAUUCCUGAUUUAUUGGGAUUACGUUGAUAAUCUUUGGUUUUGAUCGCUAAUUUUAUGGGAUUACUAUUAAUCAAAAGGAAUCACGGUAUAGAUGGUGAACCCUAAUUGCUCCUGUGACAUUAAAUUACACAAUUAAAAUGAUGAUUUGGUUGCUGAAAUAUCAGGCAAUCAAAUCAAAAUAGAAAUAUAUGUUUUAGUUUGGGCCGGAAAAGAAAUUCUAGAAACGCAAGAGGUUGACACGUGUGAGUUAUAGGCUUUAGAAAGAUGCCAAGUGGACUUUUAGUAGUCAUUUAUUAGAAGAGGGAUUUCACCAGUUCAUUCGCUCACUACUAACAAGCAUUGGAACAUAAAUCAGAUUGCAUGACUAUAUAUGCACCAUUUUUCUUAAUGCAGGUCACUGAUGAACAUGAGCGCAGGUGGGCAAAUGUCAAAACCAUCAAAAGGAAGCAAAAAUUACGAUGAGGAACCCCUCCAACGAGCCCCUUACAAAAAACCACCAUUCACAAUUGGGGAUCUCAAGAAAGCAAUCCCACCGCAUUGUUUUAAUCGCUCCAUCCUUCGCUCUUUCAGUUACCUUUUAUACGACCUAACUAUCUCCUUCAUCUUGUACUACCUCGCCUCUCGUUACAUCCACCUCCUCCCCCACAACCUCUCCUAUUUACUCGAAAAGUGAACGUGAUCAGAUCAUUGUUUCGGAUGUUGGGGUCGUUGUUGUCACUUACCUCCUCUAUAAUCUAGUAAUGACCAACGGACUCACAUGUGUCUUCUUUAUGUAUGGCGUGCCUAUGCUCAUUCUCAACACUUCACUGAUUUGUGUCACAUACUUGCAUCACACGCACUCUUCGUUGCCCCACUAUGAUUCAACGGAUUGGGAUUGGCUGAGGGGAGCUCUUGCAACAGUCCAUAGAGAUUAUGGGAUCUUGAACAUAACAGGCCACAACAUCACUAAUACCCACGUCAUCCAUCAUUUAUUUCCAAAAAUACCUCAUUAUCAUGCAGCGGAGGCCACGAAAGCAAUCAAGCCCAUAUUGAAAGAUUAUGACAGGUUUGAUGAAACACCGAUUCUGAAAGCCUUGUACAGAGAAGCAAAAGAAUGCGUAUAUAUUAAAUCAGAUGAUAAUGAAGAGGCCAAGGGUGUCUUCUGGUUUGACAAUAAGUUUUAAUCACGGGAGAUUGUAUAAUUGUAUUUCCCAAAUAAGAAGUUGAAGCCUAUAUUGCUUAGUAAUUUUAGAUUUGUGUUCGUUUUCCAUGCAUCUAAAAUCGACUUUAGACUUUAGAUUAUAUAUAAUAAGAUGAAUAAUCUGUUACCACAUCCGGUAAUUGUUUGCUUAGGCUACAAGAAUAACUACCUAGGGCGACCACACCUAUCCCGACAAUUCUUGUCGUCGCUAUGCCGACGACUUUUUGUCCACAUAGAUUUUGCCAACUUUAACCAUAAAUGUUUGACCUGAAAAGUUAUGCCGACCACAUGUUGCUACUGAUUUGGCGGGACGAUGAAUUUUUUCGUUGUCUUCUGAAAACCUAUGCCGACGACAAGUCUUCGGUAUAGGUUAUGACAAAUCUAAUUUUGAUUUAUUUUUAUUCCAUGGUGCAAAAAAUAAAAACGACGUAGUUUUUUUAGAUGUUAUUCCGACGAUCCGUCAUCGGCAUGCCAUGUGGCGCUCCGCAUGAAAUAUCUAUGCCGAUAGCUUGUCGUUGGUACAACUUUUUAAUUUUUUUUGUUUCAACAAAAAAAAAAAAAAACGACGUCGUUUAUGUAAACCUUAUACCGACAACUUGUUGUCGACAUAGGGUUUCACCCAAAUAGAACUCAGUCCAUCGUUCAUUUGCACAGCGAAGAACGAACUUACAUUCUCUUUCGACGAAAAUUGCAAUUGGCCACUCCUUCACUGGCGACGAGCACCAGGUACACUCUUAGUCAACCUUUUUACUCCGAAUUUGUUCUUUGUUAGUGAUUGUCCAACCUUUUUAUGCCGAAUUUGGGGUUUUUUCUGGGUGGUAGUUUGACAGCCGUUCACCAGAGUCCACCCUUCACCACCAUCGGUCUUUCACCACCUUCGGCCUUCCCCACCGGUGACUUCACUCUCCUUCCAGCUUCUCUCCUUGACCGCAGCAGGUAAGAAUUUGGGGUUUAUUUCUCAUUUUUUGUCAUUUCUGAUUUUUUGUUUUUCCGGUGACCAUCACUCACCACCGGAGGACCACCAUCAAAUCUGACCACCGGAAUGCGGCCAUCACAACAAGACUAAAAAAACAUGUUAUUUAUUUAUUUUUUAAUUUUUUUUUCUGUUUUCGGAUUUUUUUUUGAAAUUGAAAUUGCAUGUAUAAGUUUAUAUGAAAUUGAAAUCGGUCCUUAUAUGAUUUUAUGAUUCUGUUACUUGUUUGGUUUUUGUAUGAUGUGUUAUUCGUUCAGGUUUAUUUGAAAAUGAAAUUGUAUUAUAUAAUAUGUUAAUUUACUUGCUUACGUUUAUAUGAAAUUGAAAUUGUGUAUUAAAUGUUAUAUGAAUUUGAAAUUGAUUAUGAAACACCCCAAAAAUCAUGACAUUUUUUUUAAAUCAUAAAUAAACCAUACUUAUCAAAUCAUCUCAUCCAAAAUGUAAGUCAUAGUAUCUCAAAACAUCACAUCCAAAAACAUAUGUCAAAAUACCAUAGUAAACAUCACAGACUAAAACAUUGUGGUGUGUGCAAUGAAGUCAUCCCGAGCUCUUCCCCUUGCUGUCGGAAGUAUCUGAAACCAAAACUGAAAACUGUAAGCACGAAGCUUAGUGAGUCUCCCAAACUACCACGUACCAUACACAUAAUCACAUAAUCACAUAAUAACAUAUCAUGGGCCUCGCCCGCUUCAUCGGGCCCCACCCGGCAUCAAGCAAAGCUUGGUAUGCAUAUAAACAUAUCAACAAAUACACAUAUAUAAUCACGUAACAUAAACAUAUAAACAUUCCUGGACCCCGCCCGGCAUCAAACCGAAAUCCAGAAGCAUACAAAUACAUAAACAUGUAAGAAUCAUGAAGACAUCAAGCAUACAAACAUUCCUUGGGCACCGCUCGACAUCGGAUCGGAAUCCAGAAGUAUACAAACAUUCAUCGGGAAACGCCUGACAUCGAACCUUAGUCCGGAACAUACUAACAUACAUAAACGGGAUGACAUUGGUGCCUUCGACCCGUUUCGACAUGAGGAAACUCACCUCGCAAAGCUAAAUGCAGAAUCUCAUGGUAAGGAAUCUCUAAUGGCUGCUCCAACGACUCCCCGAGCUAUCAUUAUCACAAUAACACUUAGUCAAAAACUAAUAAUCCUUCUUAGGGUAAAAUAACCAUUUUACCCCUGAUCUAAUUUGGACCAUAACCUAGGCCCAAUUCCAUAACAUCCGGGUCCAAUUCUAUAAAGCCUUUCCAAGCCCACUAAUGGCCCAAUUUUCUAAAUUGGGCCUACCUCCUCAAAUGGGCCUUCACUUAAGCCCAAACAUGUCCUUAGCCCAAUAACUGACUUCUGAUGACCCAUUAAGGUCUAAUAGCUAAGAAGUCUAAAGAUUGGCCCAAACCGAUGCCCAAAUGUCGAAGAAUCUGAAUCCAGUAAGUACGCGGGGCGUACUCCUCAAUACACUAAGCGUAUAGGUUGCAUGGCUUGUACGUUGCGCGUAUGGGCUUGUACACCUAACGUACUACCUUGUUAAGCCAUAAACUCCAAAAGGGCUUAAUCCCUUAAGACCUUAAGCUCUAAACACAAAUCUGAGUCCAUUAUAGUGUCUUAAUCCAUAAAGUCGAUUACUUGGUGGCUUGCAACCCACCAAUGGACCAAAACUUGAAAUAUGGCAACUAACUUCCAUGGAAAUGACCAAAACUCAUGCAUGGCCACAAGAAGACCUUCAAGAUGGAAACUUUUCUAUUCUUGGGACUCAUAUAACGCUAAGGGUGGAAACCCUAAGCCUAGAAAUGGAUUUGACCAUAAAAAUCCAUUCUUAGGACCAAAUAGGUCCAAAACACCAUUAUCAUAGAACUAAGCAUACAUGAGACAAGUUGUGAGCUUUUUACCUCAAAUGAGUGCUAAAUGGUGAUGAUAUCUCAGAUCCUUGAGCUCAAGCUACUCAAGUUCUUAUUGUUCAACUUCUUCUUUCUCCUUCAAAGCUCCAAAUCACCAAAAUGGGCUUCAUAAGACCAAAAUCACACAAAGAUGAAGAAUGUAAGGUUUCUAGGGUUUCUGAGUCAAGGUGGCUGGUAAGGAGGCUAGGGCUUGGGACAUAAUGUGAUAUUUAUAUUGCUUAAACCCUAAAAAUUAUGGUUUUGAGUCUGCUCGCGUACGUUGCGCGUACUCCUUGGUACGUUGUGGGUACGCGUAUCAACCCCUACAUCCAAUGCCUUCACUACGCCCCGCGUACGCCAAGCUUACACCCAGUGUACGUCUUUAGUCAGCCUAAUAUACAACAGCCCACUGACUAAGGCCCGACUCAACAAUCCAAUAUUAAUCUCAUAGUCCAACAAUUAUAAGGAAAUUAAAUAAUUAUCAUUACCUCAAGUCACGAGUGUUACAGUUUAGGUAUAUAUGAAAUUGAAAUUAUAUGUAUAAAAUGUUAAUUUAAUUGCUUAGGUUUAUAUGAUAUUGAAAUUGAAUGUAUAAAAUGUGAAAUAUGUAUGAUUGUGUUGCUUGUUUAGGAUGAUAUGAAAUUGUAUGAACAAAAUGUAAAUAUGUAUGCUUGUGUUACUUGUUCAACUUUAUUGGUUUGAGUGCAUGAAGUGAUAAAGUGCUUACUAGCUAAGUUAAAUGUUUGUCUUUAAAUUCAUGAUAAGUGCUUAGUGAUACGUUAAAGUUUUUGUAUUUAAUUAGGUAAUAUGAUUGUUUAAAGUACAAUGUUAUAAUUGAAAAAAAAUAUAUUGUUAUAAUAGAAAAAAAAAUUAUAUAUAAAGUACGAUGCUAUAAUUGAAAAAAAACAAAAAUAAGAUGCUAAAAUACAAUAAAUAUAAAAAAGAAGUGAAAUAGAAUGCUUUUAAUAGACGAACUAAUUACAUUGCUAUUAAAGAAAACCUAACUAAAAAUGUUAUUAAAAGCAACAUACUUUAUUAGUUUGUUUAUUAAAGCAUUCUCUUUGAUAGUUAUAAUAGAAAACAGAAUAAUAAAUCUACAUUGCUAUUAAAAGUAUGAUGCUAUAAUAAAAAACAAAUUAAUAUUUAAAGUACAAUGCUAUAAUUGGAAAAAAAUAAGACGGUGUAUAUACUAUAAAUAUGAAAAAGAAGUGAAAAUGGAAUGCUAUAAACAAACUAAUAAAAGUACGUGGAUAUGGAAGAUAAUUUAACUACACAUGUUAUUAAUAGCAACGUACCUUUAUUCGUUUGUUUAUUAAAUCAUUCUAUUUUCAUUUCUUUUUUAUAGUUUUAACAGAAAAAUAAAUAAUAAAAGUACAUUAAAUCAUUGAUUUUUAGUUUAUGUCUCUUCUUUAUAAUCAUCAAGAGCCUAGAAAUACCCGUCCAAAGUUGCUUUAGAAAUUAAUUUCGGGUCGUCCCCAUUUUGGGACUGCUUUUUAAAUAUUUUAUCUCAUUUAGGAUGUAAAUUUGUAUUGUAUGAUUGUUUGUUCAAGAAAAAAUUGGUUGUCAUUAUCUCCUUGCUCCUUGUGUAUAUAUUCAUUUAUAUACUUGGGGGCUAAGGGGAAAUGUUGCCGAUUUUUUCUCAAACAAACAAUCAUGCAAUACACAUUCACAUAUGAAAUAAGGUAUUCAAAAAGUGGGUUUAGAAGUCCACCUUUGUGAAUACUUUAUCAAUUACAUUUAAUUUUUACUUCUCGGAUAUAUAUUUAUUUAUAUACUUAUGAAUACUCCAUCCAUUUCGUCUGAUUUUUUCUCAAAAAAAGAAACAGUCAUGCAAUACACAUUUACAUAUAGCCACAAUACAAUUUAACUUUCAAUAACUAUGUGUACAAUGUAAUUUUUAAUAAUGAAACAAUAAUUACGAUCGAUAAGAGUUGGAUUUGUGAAAACCAAACGUCCCCAAAUUUAUUGGAAGGUCUUAAAAACUUAUGGAGAUUUCUGUGAAUCAUGUCGACUCAGAAGACAAAGUGUGUUGUCUGUGCAUAAAGUGUGUGAAUAUGUAUCGACAUAUGCGAAGUAUGGUUUAUGCCCACAUAUAUGACUGUGGGUUUCUAAAAUCAUAUACUAUAUGUCAUCAUCACGGUGAGAUAUGUCAUGUUUCAGAUUUGGGCAACAAUUCGACUCUAGUAAACACUCCAAUAACUAAUGAGAUGUUUGAAGUAAUUGAUGAUGUUAUGGCAGGACAAAAUACAAAUUAAGAAAAUACAGAUGAGUAAGGACGAGGUAUGGACCCAAAAUUUGAUGUUUUGUUUAAGGAGCUCAAUACCGAGUUAUACCCUGAUUGUGAGAUUUCAUCCCUAAAAUUUAUGGAAAAGUUGUUGCAUAUUAAAGUGAUCAAUAAAUGGAUAUAUAGAUCGUUUGAAUAACUUUUAGAGUUAUUAAUAUUUGCUCUCCCAAAGAGAGAUUCGAACUUCACACUAUGAAGCUAAGAAAAAGUUGAGAAAGAUAUGGUUAGUGUAACGACCCAAUUUUCACGACCAAAAAUUUCAUUUUUAAAUCAAUACUUUGGAAAACAUUUGUGAAUAAACAUCAUUUGAUCCCAUCAUUUCAUAAACAUAUUUCGUUUCUGAAAUCCAAAACAUAAAAACAACCAAAAUGUCAGAGUACAAAUCCUAGAAUAACUCAUGGUGCGGAAAACAAUGUACGUGUAUGAUGUGUCGCAACCGUGCCAGCUCUUUCCCCUUCGAAGAAGAGGUACCUGAAACUGAAAUUGUAAACUGUAAGCACGAAGAUUAGUGAGUUCCCCCAUAAUACCACAUACCAUACAAUCACAUAAUGAAUAGCUAGGAGAUACGGGCCUCGCCCACGCUCCGCUAGCUGGGAGAUACGGGCCUCGCCCACACUCAGCUACUAAACCAUAAUUAACAAGUAUCACACAGACAACGAGUAUAAACAAUUCUACCACACUAGCAUAUAUCAUCAUCAAAGUCAACUAUUAGAUACAGGCUCUGCCCACACUCUGAUACUAUCAUAUCGUUUAUACGGGUCGGCCUUGGUGCCCUAGAGCCAUUCCUACUAGAAGGAAACUCACCUCAAAAAGUAGCUGCUGAAAGUCUGCUUGCUAGACGUCUGACUGCUGCACCGGUAAUCCUCCGACUAUAAAUCCAUAACAUAGAUUACUCACUCAUAAAUACCCUUAGGUCAAAUGACUGACCUACCCCUGGUCCAAGGUCAACUCCUUGGUUAAAGUCAAUUUCCAGUUGACUGGACACGCUGAGUCAUGGCACAGACUCAUCGAGUCCCUCUCCUAUUAACCCAAUACUAACUCAUCAAGUCCCUCUUCCACUCAGUGAGUCACCCAUAACUCACUAAUUGGGACAAUUGGACCGACUUGCGAUCCGACUUUCCGAGUCUAAAAACAACUCGCCGAGUCCCUCGAGCAGAUCUCCUACUCGAUUCCAAAUCCUCACCAGAGCAUCCAUCUUGAGGAUUUGGGUUUCUGGGACAAUUGCUACACGUUAAAUUGCUAAUUCCGCGUGCAGCUACGAAGGGUUGGACCUUCUACACUUAAAACCGUCUUAACUCAGUAACAGUUCAUAUGACUCGUGCUAGGUCCAUUUUAGUGUUGCGUCUUUGGGCUCGUUAGCUAGUCCAAGUUUUGUCUCCGGUAUGGGCCUAUCCAUCCGUGAGUUUCGUAUAGGGUUUAUUAUAUAUAGAUGCUUGCAUGCAUUCUUGAAAGGAAUGUUUUGAUAGAGAUUUGAUAGCGUAAAAGUUCUUAUCAUUUGUAACCCUAGAAUUCUAUACAGCGGAAGUUCUUCAUCGAGCUCUGCUGAGAAUUGAGUUAAUCAAAUCAUUCGAAUCAUUUAGAUCUAUACUUUAGUUUUUGUUUAACUGUUAUUACUUUCUUUAUUCGCCUAUUUUAAAGAUCUAAUCGAUCAAAGAGUUUUAUAAACUCAUCAAUUGGUAUCAAAGCAGGAGGCUGUGUAAUUCAUACACAUCUCUUUUGUGAAACAAGUGAUUAGGGUUAUUCCGCAUUAACUGAUAUUUAUUGAGCCGUCACUCCAUAAUUGACGUAUCUCUUUAUUUAUUCGUUUGCCCUAAUGUUACAUAUUACAAGUCUGAUCUUUCAAACAGGUUAAACGAUAUAGCAUGGACGAUUCUCAAUCUAAUCCUAUCAACAUCUCAAACAGUAUUGGAUCAACGACGAAGAUUCCUAUUCUAUACACCCAGGAUUACGAAGUUUGGGCUCAUCAUUUUGAAGACUAUGUCAUCGGAUCUGAAGAUAAUGGGUAUCUUAUUUGGGAAGCCAUUGUGUCUGGACCAUUUGCUCACUCAAGAACAUCCAAGAUCAUUAAAACUCAGAAAGAAUAUAAUGAUCUGUCAAAAGAUGUAAAAGACGUUGCUCAAGAUGAAAAGGAGAAGUUUGAGUGCAACAUCAAAGCAUUGAGACUGAUCCGAUUCGCUCUUCAAUCUGAAACGUUUAGGUUGGUGAGUUCCUGCAGUACCGCUAAAGAAAUCUGGGAUAGGUUGCGAGAGCUAUAUUCCACAGAUGAAGAUUUGGAGCACUUUAUUCAGACUUUGCUUUUGUCUGAGUUUGGAGAAUUUAAGAAAAAUUAUGAUGAGACCGUCACUCAGACGUUUGAUCGCUUCAAUCAUCUUCUUAGCAAGAUGAUCAAACAUGAUAUCAAAAGGAAGCUGAUUGAACAAAAGGUCACCUUUUUGAAUGGCUUAAGAUCUGAAUGGAGAGCUGUUGUGUCUACAGUUAAAGCUCAUGAGCAGUUCAAGUCAUAUUCAUUGGCUAAACUGGUGGGAAUUCUAAAAUCCCAAGAAAAGAUUGUGAUGCAAGAAAAGAAUGUGGUCUCAAGUUUGGGGGUCCUUGGCACUCCUAUCCAAAAGCAAGAAUGUAGUAGAAGAUGAAGAUCUGAACCUGGAGGACUACGAUCUUAGUUCAGAAGAUUAUGCUAUGAUGGUGUCCAAUCCAAAAAGGUUAAUCAAGAAGAGGUUUCCUACCACUAAAAACCGAAAUUGGCAAGGAAGCUACAGUUCAGAAAAGGUAAGGGAGGAGCUGAAGACUGAGGAACCAAAGAAGGAAGCGAAGGUUGAAGGAGAUUCUGGUGUCAACUGCUACUACUGUGGAGGAAAGAACCAUUAUGCCAAAGAUUGUGUUCUGAAGAAAAUGGCAGAGAAGGAUGAGGAGAAAGAUGAAGAAGCAAUCUUGAUGAAAAAGCUGGAAGAGAUCAAGAGAAAGACAGCUACUACUAACCCUUCUAUGAAUGCUCUUAUUGUACAGGGUUCGGCAGAGGAUGACGAGUUCGGUGGUGUGCUGGUGUGGUCAACCGACUCAGAAGAUGAUGAGGUGAGAAAGUCUUCGCAUGGAAAGGUGUAUGUGGCAAGAGGUGGUGAAAGCGGCGGAAAGUGUUUGAUGCUGACUAACGUAUCUCACAUGAGGGGAUACAAUACAGAUGGUGGAAAUAAGGACACCAAGGAGCGAGAGGACUUAUGCUUCACAGCAAAACCUCUCAAUGUGCAGAUCAAUGAGCUUGAUGAAUUGAUCAAGAAGGUACAAUCUCUUUUUAUCUCGUUCAAAUUUCCACAGAAAUCAUAUGAAAAGGAAUUAAAUAACCUAAAUUCAAGAAUCUCAAAUCUGGAUAGUUGUUUAACUCAAACACAGGUCACCAAUUCUAACCUAACUGACCAAAUAACCAGGGUGUCAUCCAAGAGUGAGGAGCGAAGGAUGUGGAUUGAGCAGAAGGAGUCAGAGCUGAUUAAGUCUAAAGAUGAAAACAUUUAUUUACAAAGAGACAAUUUGAAACUUUUAAAACAAAGAAAUGUUUUUUGUUUGAUUGCUAAAAGUCUUUAUGCUAACAUUACUCAACUGCAUCUGAAUUGUGAAAUAGGGCAGAAAAUACAUCGCAUGAUUUUACCCUUCCUUGAGUUUAAGGAGGAUGAAAUCGAUGCUGAAGCAUACAACUGUGAAAGUGUUGUAUCGUCUGAUGAUGUGUGUAACACCGUAAAUUUUCAAAAUAAUUUUCCAUUUCCAAAAUCACAUAAUGUGUCACGUCACAAUCAAAAUCCAUAAUCAAUUCUGUUUUCAAAAACAAAUCCCAAGAUCUCUACAUAUGAAAAUCUCCAUCAGUGUGUUUGUACGUGUCAAGCCGUCGCCUGCCCACGGUCCUCGCUGGUACCUGAGUCAUCAAACAUAACAACUGUAAGCAUAAAUGCUUAGUGAGUUCCCCCAAAAUACCACAUACUACAAAUACGCCACUCGAGGCUAACCCGACCCUCCGGUCAAGAUGUCUCAGCGGGACCUUCCAGUCCCGCAGCUCGUCGGACCCUCUGGUCCAGUCAUAGCUCAUUGGGCCCUCUGGCCCGAUCUGAAUCGUUGGACCCUCCGGUUCGGUCUAUAUAAUCAUACAACAUACAAUAACACAUAGCAUACAAUCUCAUAAAUAGCACAUAAUCUCAUACAUAACACAUAAGACCCUCUGGUUAACUCAUAAUACCACUCAAGGUAACGUAUAGUGAGAAGACUCACCUCGCGUGUCUCGGUAACUCGUAAAGCUCUCAACCACUAGUGCUCGAUCUCCCGAGCUAUCGCCUUCCGACAACAAAGGUGUCUCUUUACUUAAUACUACUUGACUCUGACUGACUAAUACUACUAAGUCAAACCAGUCAACGGUCAACGGUCAACAGUCAACCCGACUCGCCGAGUCCCUACAGGAACCCGAUUCCCUCUGGAUCUCUUCCAACUCACCGAGUCACUCACCCGACUCGGUUACACAGUCCCUGGUCCGAAGUCUCUGAACAACCCGCACCAACUCGCCGAGUCUAGGAUUGGACUCGGCGAGUGCACUCCAUGCACAACCUCAAACGACCUUCUAAGGUCAGAUCCACUCUAGUAACUCAUAGAUCCAGUCCCCUUAAGCUUAUUAACCACGUAAAGUCCGAGUCUUGGCGCUCAAUAAGCAUCAUAUAGCUCAUUAAUGGAGGUUUAGCCUCAAAUACAUAGAUCCCAAUCUAAAACCUCCAUGGAUGCACAUAAAGCUUGGGCAAGGAGGUGCUCUGGACCUCUAUGGGUCUAGAUUCAGAGCCAAAACUCGCCAAGGGCCCAUAAUGAUGCUAGAUCUAGCCACAAAUGGGUUCAAAAACCCUAAAUCUAUAUGAACAUCACAAUAACAAAGAAGGAUUCGAAUGUUACCUCAGAUGUGAUGUCCUGGACCUUAGCUCUUCAAGAAUCCACCCCUCUCUUGCUUCCUCUUGGCUAGAUCUUCUCUUCCUUUGCUAGACAAUAACUCCAAGAAUCAACAAUGGCUUCUUCCCUCACUUGAAUCACUCAAAUGAUCUAGGGUUUCACUCUGGGGGCUAAUGAGCGCAAAUGACGGCCAUAAGGCCCUUUAAAUAGGCCGCAAACCCGAGAAAUUAGGGUUUCAUUAAACGUCGCAGACUUGCCGAGUCCACUAAGGCGACUCGCCGAGUCCGAGCAUCAGUCCGGAUGAGAAGCCGCGUCUUAACUCGGCGAGUCUACGCAACAACUCGCCGAGUCCCUUCUCAAAACUAAAAAUAAAAAGAUUUGUUAAUAUACCUGAAAUCCCGGAUGUUACAAUUCUCCCCCACUAGAAUCUGACUUCGCCCUCGAAGUCUCAUUCCUGAAAUAACUCUGGAUGCUGCUCCCGCAUCUCCCGCUCCGGUUCCCAGGUCAACUCGGAUCCCUUCCGAUGUUGCCACUGAACCUGUACCAGAGGCACUUCCUUGUUCCUCAGAACCUUGAUCUUUCGAUCCACAAUCGCAACUGGUCUCUCUGCGUAGUUCAGGCUCGCAUCCACCUGAAUAUCCUCCAACGGCACCACUGCCGACUCGUCGGCAAUACAUUUCCUCAACUGCGAGACAUGAAAGGUAUCAUGGAUCUGCCCCAACUCAGCAGGUAGGUCCAACCGGUAGGCUACCCUGCCUACCCUAGCAAUUACCCUGAAGGGUCCAAUGUACCGGGGUCCCAACUUGCCCCUCUUCCUGAAUCGUAUCACUCCUUUCCAAGGAGAGACCUUUAGGAGCACAAGAUCACCGACCUGAAACUCGAGCUCGGACCGACGCCUGUCCGCAUAACUCUUCUGGCGACUCUGCGCGGUCAACAACCUCUGCCUGACCUGCUGAAUCUGCUCGGUCGUCUGGAGUACAAUCUCCGUGCUACCCAUCACCCGCUGCCCCACCUCUCCCCAGCAGAUGGGGGUGCGACACCUCCGCCCAUACAACAGCUCAAAGGGUGGCAUACCAAUGCUCGAAUGAUGGCUGUUGUUAUACGAAAACUCUGCUAAAGGUAGGUAGGUGUCCCAGCUCCCUCCAAAAUCCAGAACACAUGCUCGGAGCAUAUCCUCAAGCAUUUGAAUCGUUCGCUCGCUCUGUCCGUCCGUCUGCGGGUGGUAUGCGGUACUGAAAUGCAAUCUCGUACCCAACUCCUCAUGAAACUUCUUCCAAAACCUGGAAGUAAAACGCACAUCUCGGUCUGAGACAAUCGACAUCGGAACCCCAUGUCGCGAUACCACCUCUCUCUCAUACAAUUCUGCUAAUUUCUCCGCAGAAGAACUCUCGCUGAUGGCUAGAAAAUGAGCGCUCUUCGUCAAUCUAUCCACAAUCACCCAAAUCGCAUCAACUCCUCUCGCAGUCCUUGGCAAUUUGGUGAUAAAAUCCAUGGUAAUCUGUUCCCACUUCCACUCGGGAAUCUCCAACGGUUGCAGCUUACCAUGCGGACGCUGGUGCUCGGCCUUAACUUGGCGACAAGUUAGGCACCUCUCGACGAACCAAGCAACAUCCCUCUUCAUACAGGGCCACCAAUACUCCUUCUUUAGGUCCAAAUACAUCUUGGUAGCCCCAGGAUGGAUCGAGAACUUCGAUCGAUGUGCCUCCUCCAUCAAAAUCGUACGCGUACCGCCCACAAACGGUACCCAAAUCCGACCCUGAAACGUCAUAAGUCCCUGACCAUCGGUAACGAAUUUCGAUACUUGACCAACCACCCGCUCCCUUUUUUGAUUUUCUGAUCUCGCAGCCUCAGCCUGAGCCCCUCGGAUGGUGUCCAAAAUCAGAGUUGUCACCGUCAACCUCAAACAGAUUUCUUGCAAUGGGGCACUCUCUGCCCUACGACUCAGGGCGUUGGCUACCACAUUAGCCUUGCCCAGGUGGUACAGGAUCUGGCAAUCAUAAUCCUUUACCACAUCCAACCAUCUCCUCUGCCGCAUAUUCAGAUUUGGCUGAUCCAUCAGGUACUUCAAACUCUUGUGGUCCGUGUAUAUCGUACACCGAACCCAAUACAGAUAGUGACGCCAGAUCUUGAGGGCGAACACCACAGCCCCCAACUCCAGAUCGUGGGUGGGAUAUCUUGUCUCAUGAGGCUUUAACUGCCUCGAUGCAUACGCGAUCAGAUGCCCUCUCUGCAUCAAAACCGCUCCCAACCCCGAUAUCGAUGCAUCACAAUACACUACAAAAUCCACCAUCCCUUCAGGCAAUGCAAGCACGGGAGCUUCGCACAAUCUCUGGCGAAGAGUCUCAAAUGAGGUCUGCUGCUCCGAACUCCAUGAGAAAGUAACACCCUUCCGGGUUAACUUGGUAAGUGGCACAACAAUUUUGGAGAAGUCCCUGAUAAAUCUCCGAUAGUAGCCUGCCAGCCCCAAGAAACUCCGGAUCUCUGCAGGUGACCUCGGCACUUCCCAACUCAUCACAGCCUCGAUCUUGGCCGGGUCAACCAAUAUCCCAUUCUGGUUAACAAGAUGCCCUAAGAACUGGCCCUCCCGUAACCAAAAAUCACACUUGGAGAAUUUGGCGAAUAGCCUCUCCGACCUCAGAACCCCGAGGAACUCCCUCAAAUGCUCCUCAUGCUGCUCUCUGGUCCUCGAAUGCACCAAGAUAUCAUCAAUGAAUACAAUGACUGAACGAUCCAACAUCGGCCUACACACCCUGUUCAUGAGAUCCAUGAAUGUCGCUGGUGCAUUGGUGAGCCCGAAUGGCAUCACCACGAACUUGUAAUGCCCGUAACGAGUCCUAAACGCCGUCUUCUGGAUAUCCUCAUCCCGAACUCUCAUCUGGUGAUAUCCCGAUCUCAAGUCAAUCUUGGAGAACCAAGACGCCCCCUGCAACUGAUCGAAUAGAUCGUCGAUCCUCGGCAACGGAUAACGGUUCUUGACCGUCAACUUGUUCAACUCCCGGUAAUCAAUGCACAUCCGGUGUGAACCAUCCUUUUUCUUGACAAAAAGGAUCGGCGCUCCCCAGGGAGAGCUACUGGGACGGAUGAACCCUUUCCCCAACAGCUCUUGCAGCUGUGACGAUAACUCCUGCAUCUCUGGCGGCCCCAGCCGAUAUGGCGCCUUAGCGAUAGGCGCAGCCCCGGGAAUCAAAUCGAUACGAAACUCCACUUGCCUCUCGGGAGGUACGCCCGGCAACUCCUCGGGGAACAUGUCCCGGAACUCACGCACUAUCGGUACAUCGUCCACUGAAAUUGGCCUCCUAACGGCCUCUCGUACAUCCGUCACAUAGGCCACGAAUCCCUUGCAGCCCUGCUGCAAACUCCGCCUUGCUCUGGCAGCCGAACAGAAUACAGAACCACCACGAGUCCCCUCGCCAUAAACUGUCAGCACUCCCCUACUAGGAUCUCGGAUCGUCACCAACUGACGCUCGCAAUCUAUGAUAGCCCCGAAACGGCUCAACCAAUCCAUGCCUACUAUGACACAUACAUCCCCCAUAGCAAUCGGAAUCAAAUCAAUCGGGAACUCCACCCCGAAGAUCUCCAGCACGCAUCCACGUAUCACCUCGGUAGCACAUACCUCACGCUCAUCUGCUAUGGAAACCCGCAGAGGUCGACUCAACGCCUCUCUCGGAAUACUAAUGCGCCGACUAAAAGCUAAAGAUAUGAAAGACCGACUCGCACCCGAGUCGAAUAAAACCAAUGCAGGUACAGAACUCACAAGAAAAGUACCUACGCAUAACAUAUAGCAAUUACAAUAGCAUAAACUCAACAUAAAAUAGAUAAAGAUUACAUACCCGCCACGACGUCAGGUGCUGCGCGGACCUCCUCCGCAGUCAGCUGGAAGGCUCUCCCUCUAGCCUUCGGUGCUUCGACCUUCACUAGUCGGGUCUCGGUAGCUCGAACCAUAGGUGCAGAUCUCUGAAGCUGGGGGCACUCGGCCUUCCGAUGGCCGGUCUAGUUGCAAUGGAAGCAAACCGAGAACCCCUUCGGACAGUCCCUCGCAAAAUGUCCUUCCUUCCCGCAUUUGUAGCAUACCCCAGUCUUGCACGGCCCGUCAUGGCUCUUGCCGCACUUCCCACAAGUGCGGCCCCUCGAACUGCCUGUCCUCGAAUCAGCGGGCUUUGCCCGCUUGGCGGCCGGCUGCGACUGUGUCGGUCGCCGAUCACCCUUCCGCAACUCAGUCUUCUCCCUCGCCUGUGUCUCAAGCUCGAUCUCCCUCUUCUUGGCAUUUUCCUGGAGCUCGGCAAAUGUCCGAUAAUUCGAGUUCACCACGAACUCACAGAUGUCCCUCCUCAAGAUGCUCAGAUAACGGCUCAUGCGAGCCUGCUCAGUGGACACCAACUCCGGGCAAAACAGCGCCCGCUCAUGAAACAUCCUCGUAAUCACUGUCACCGACUCGGUCCCCUGCUUGAGGGUCAGAAACUCCUGAGCUAAACGUUCCCUCUCCACCUGGGGAACAUACUCGUCACGAAACAUCGCAGUAAACCUCUCCCAGGUCACUGCAGUCAGCUCAGCUGUAGAAUAGCUCGCGGUCACAAAUUUCCACCAGUCCUUCGCCCCCAAGCGAAGCUGAUUGAGUGUGAAUCGCACCCUCAAGUGCUCCAGACAUGAGCACGUAUAGAAACACCCCUUUAUGUCUGAGAUCCACCUCAUAGCGGCGAUCGGAUCCUGUGUACCAUCGAACUCCGGUGGUUUCGUGUUGCUGAACUCUCGGUACAACAACGAAUCACCACCCUGGGGUCUCGCAGCAGCAACAGCUGCGGUGGCUGCAGCAACAGCAGCAUCAGUCAAAGCAGCGUAACGCUCGUCAAACGUCUCGAUCAGUGUGGUCUUAAUAGACCCAAACAUCUCCGGAAUCUCGGCUCUGAUGGCAGCAGCCACCUCCUCAUGGAUGAUCCGACGGAUCUCCUCAUCGCUCACCCCACUGCUCUCGGGGUUAUGGCGUGUCCCGACCAUGAUCAACCUCUGAAAUACAACAUAAGAAAUAUCAGGAAUACUCUCGAGUAUACUCACACUCGAUAACUCAAACAUCCUCUCUCCUGGUACUCCCAAGGAUUCUUACUUGGACUGCGCACCAAUCCGGUGUCUUCAAUAGUACGGGCCCAAUACUAUCGUCCACACCGAAUCGAUAUACAACCCAAGUCCUCCUCCUAGGAUCCCAAAUCGCAAAUACUCUACUCUCGCUAUGCACUGGCUACCCUCAAUAGCCCUCUCCUGAGCUCCUCACUGCUACCUACUCACUCUCAAAGUAUCUCAUAGCAGCAGCGAUCUCCUAAGCUAAGGCAUCACAAAUCAGGCCCACUCUAGUCCUAAUAGGAAUACCUAGCCUCUCUAACAUGCACAACAUAAUAUCUCAUAACUCAUAACAUAUAAUGUAAGGGUAUUUUGGGGAUUCACCGUUCGGGCGCUGGCUGACCGUACACACCUUCCACUCUGCUCGUUUCCCAAAACCUCUUUUUCUUUUUAGAAAAUUUUAGUUUUAUUUGAAAAUUUCUCAAAUCCUCGGUUUGAGUUCAAAUACGCCCGAAGGUGCAUCCGAAUCCCUCAAACCAAGGCUCUGAUACCAACUUGUAACACCGUAAAUUUUCAAAAUAAUUUUUCUUUUCCAAAAUCACAUAAUGUAUCACAUCACAAAUCAAAAUCCAUAAUCAAUUCUGUUUUCAAAAACAAAUCCCAAGAUCUCUGAUAUAAAAAUCUCCAUCAGUGUGUGUGUACGUGUCAAGCCGUCGCCUUCCCACGGUCCUCGCUGGUACCUGAGACAUCAAACAUAACAACUGUAAGCAUAAAUGCUUAGUGAGUUCCCCAAAAUACCACAUACUACAAAUACGCCACUCGAGGCUAACCCGACCCUCUGGUCAAGAUGUCUCAGCGGGACCUUCCAGUCCCGCAGCUCGUCGGACCCUCUGGUCCAGUCAUAGCUCAUUGGGCCCUCUGGCCCGAUCUGAAUCGUUGGACCCUCCGGUCCGGUCUGUAUAAUCAUACAGCAUACAAUAACACAUAGCAUACAAUCUCAUAAAUAGCACAUAAUCUCAUACAUAACACAUAAGACCCUCUGGUCAACUCAUAAUACCACUCAAGAUAACGUAUAGUGAGAAGACUCACCUCGCGUGUCUCGGUAACUCGUAAAGCUCUCAACCACUAGUGCUCGAUCUCCCGAGCUAUCGCCCUCCUACAACACAGGUGUCUCUUUACUUAAUACUACUUGACUCUGACUGACUAAUACUACUAAGUCAAACCAGUCAACACUGGUCAACGGUCAACGGUCAACAGUCAACCCGACUCGCUGAGUCCCUACAGGAACCCGAUUCCCUAUGGAUCUCUUCCAAGUCACCGAGUCACUCACCCGACUCGGUUACACAGUCCCUGGUCCGAAGUCUCUGAACAACCCGCACCAACUCGCCGAGUCUGGGAUUGGACUCGGCGAGUGCACUCCAUGCACAACCUCAAACGACCUUCUAAGGUCAGAUCCACUCUAGUAACUCAUAGAUCCAGUCCCCUUAAGCUUAUUGACCACGUAAAGUCCGAGUCUUGGUGCUCAUUAAGCAUCAAAUAGCUCAUUAAUGGAGGNGACUCGGCGAGUGCACUCCAUGCACAACCUCAAACGACCUUCUAAGGUCAGAUCCACUCUAGUAAGUCAUAGAUCCGGUCCCCUUAAGCUUAUUAACCACGUAAAGUUCGAGUCUUGGCGCUCAAUAAGCAUCAUAUAGCUCAUUAAUGGAGGUUUAGCCUCAAAUACAUAGAUCCCAAUCUAAAACAUCCAUGGAUGCACAUAAAGCUUGGGCAAGGAGGUGCUCUGGACCUCUAUGGGUCUAGAUUCAGAGCCAAAACUCGCCAAGGGACCAUAAUGAUGCUAGAUCUAGCCACAAAUGGGUUCAAAAACCCUAAAUCUAUAUGAACAUCACAAUAACAAAGAAGGAUUCGAAUGGUACCUCAGAUGUGAUGUCCUGGACCUUAGCUCUUCAAGAAUCCACCCCUCUCUUGCUUCCUCUUGGCUAGAUCUUCUCUUCCCUUGCUAGACAAUAACUCCAAGAAUCAACAAUGGCUUCUUCCCUCACUUGAAUCACUCAAAUGAUCUAGGGUUUCACUCUGGGGACUAAUGAGCGCAAAUGACGGCCAUAAGGCCCUUUAAAUAGGCCGCAAACCCGAGAAAUUAGGGUUUCAUUAAACGUCGCAGACUCGCCGAGUCCACUAAAGCGACUCGCCGAGUCCGAGCAUCAAUCCGGAUGAGAACCCGCGUCUUAACUCGGCGAGUCUACGCACCAACUCGCCGAGUCCCUUCUCAAAACUCAAAAUAAAAAGAUUAGUUAAUAUACCUGAAAUCCCAGAUGUUACAAUGUGAAUCCCACUUACAUGUACGGUCUGGACAAAAUAGAAUCUUUCAUAAAGUCCAAAGACCAUAAGGACAUGCUGAAAAAUCUUUUGGAUGAAAACGAUAAGCUGAAACUAAGGACCGAAACCAUAAAAAAAUUCGACUCAUUGAGUGCUAAUUUAAGUGCAGAAAAUAGAAUUGAUGUUGAAAAUGCAUCUGAACUUAAUGUGGACGAUGAUAUGAGUUAAAUUUAUGUAGAGGAUGUUGUGGACUGUUCUGAGUUUGUCAAGAGCGAACCCGAAAACCACAAAAAUCUGAUUUCUGAAAAUUCUGUGGAGUUCGCUCGUUUGUCCCAAAAUAAAUCCCCGAUUCUUGAAGAAAAGGCUGUUGUGUACCAAAAGGUGAGAACAACACCAAAUUAGGUGUAUAAGGUCACAGGAGUAACCGAGCAUCAAACAGCCGAACUCACUGCCAUAGUGAAUGAAGAUAAUGCAGAUGGCUGUGAUGAGUUCUUCUGGUCUGCUCCUAUAGAUAAUGCCGACGAAACAGUUGGUUUGUCAUAGCGAACGUCCUGGAAAACAAAAGGAAUAUAUGUACUAGAGCCGCUGAACAAGCCUGACAACUUUGACGUGCCAAGCACAAGUGGUACAAAAGAAAUACCUGUAGAAGAAGUCCCCUCCACAAGCAAAACCUCAUCUACGAAGAGCGAACCGGCUGUCAAGAAGUUAAAGCAAAAGGCUAAUAUCCAAAGACAGCCGAAACAGGUGAGAAAUCAAAAGCAGCAAAGAAACCUGAGAUACAAAAAGAAUCUCUCUGAGCGAAAGCAGUUUUGGCGUUCUCAAAACAAUCAUUUCUCUUAUCAUGAUAGAAAUUCAAAGUCAGAGAAAUAGACUUUCGGGCCACAUGAGGAAUAGAACCGAAAGGUUAGGUUCGGUCCUGAGAGCAACAUCAACCGAAAGGAUAGGUUCGGUCAUGAAGGAACAAGCUACCGAAGGUCCAGGUUCGGUCCCCUCAAUGACCAAAAACAAAAGGGUCAUAUCGAACCGCAAGUCAGAAGAAAUUCCCAUUCUAAUUCUUCUAAUUCUCAAUUCUCUUCUAAACCCAAUUCUGUUCAUGCACAAAAUUCUAAAUCGUCAACGAACCUGAAAGGAAAAUCGAAGAUUUCCUCUGUCCAGGAAGACCGAAAGCAGUCUAAAGCCCAAACACCAAAACCUGAAACCAAACCCACUGUUGCUAAUCCUAACAAAAUCAAAGUGUUUACCAUUAAAAGAAAAGAUGAAACAACAUUAAUAAAAAGAAAAUAUCUUGUUGAUGUUUCUCUUACUGUUCUUGUUCCUGUGAAAGGCUCACGUGGACCCAAGAAACUUUGGGUUCCUAAAUCUGCUUAAUUUUUGCAGGUUAUAAGUGACGAUCAGUUCGACGAAGAAUGGUACAUUGACAGUGGCUGCUUACGCCACAUGACAGGAAGGAAGGAAGAGCUAAGGGAGUUUCGAUCUCUUCAGAAUGGUGGGAAUGUCAAGUUCGGCAACAACUCCUAUGGAACGAUAAAAGGUUAUGGUAUGAUAACCAAUGGAGACUUCACAAUAAGGAAGGUGGCGUGCGUUGAAGGGCUACACCAUAAUCUCAUCAGUGUGUCUCAACUGGUGGGAGGUACCGGUCUCAAGGUUUCAUUUGACGAUGAAGGUUCAGAAAUCAUAGAGAAGAAAUCAAAAAGGGUGAUUCUCAGAUCAGAACGCAAAGGCGAAAUGUUUCCUCUCAAUCUGAAGCCAAUCAAAGGAAAUCCAAGUAUAUGUGUUUUAUCCAAAGCUCAUUCUGACGAAAGCUGGUUGUGGCACCGAAGGCUCUCACAUCUCAACUUCAAAGACAUCAACAAGCUUGUCACAGGAGGUCAUGUUCGGGGUCUCCCAUUGCUCAAGUUUGAUCGAGAACAUUUGUGUGCUGCGUGUGAAAUGGGGAAGCAAAGUCGUCAAAGUCACCCAUCCAUUAUAAACACAAAAGUUGUUGAACCACUUGAGUUGCUUCACAUUGACUUGUGUGGUCCAUCAUCAAUCGAAAGCAUUGGCGGUAGCAAGUAUAUUCUUGUUAUUGUUGAUGAUUUCUCACGUUUUACAUGGGUGUUCUUUCUNCCUAAAGCACAAAUCUAAGGCUACUCCUAAGAUAAAGAUGUUUAUUAAGCAGGUUGAAGUGCAACUGAAAAAAGUCGUUCGCAACAUCAGGAGUGAUAAUGGACCGGAGUUCAAGAACAAAGAAUUUGAAAACCUUUUGGCAGAAAAAGGAACCAGUCACAACUUCUCAGCCCCCUAUACCCCUCAACAAAACGGAAUUGUCGAAAGACGAAACCGAUCCUUGUGUGAGGCGGCCCGAACGAUGCUAAGUUUCGCUUCUCUUCCUUUAUAUUUCUGGGCUGAUGCUAUUGCUGCAGCAUGUUUUACGCAGAACAGGUCUUAUCUCAACAAGCGUUUCUCUCUUACUCCUUAUGAGAUCAUCAAUAACAGGAAGCCGAACGUAAAAUUCUUCCAUGUGUUCGGCUCACGAUGCUUCAUCUUCAACUCCAAAGAACAUCGUAACAAGUUUGACGUUAAAGCUGAUGAAGGAAUUUUUCUGGGAUAUUCUCUUACUUCAAAAGCUUACCGGGUCUUAAAUAAGCGCUCUAGGAAGAUCGAAGAAACAUAUUAUGUGACUUUCGAUGAUAACUACGUCAAAAAGCUAAAGGCUACUGAAGAAGCAAUUGGAGAGAUUUUCACCUAAACAGGUCAAGCCACGGCCUCGAUUGCUAAUCUGUUCGAUCAGUUUGUGGAACUAUUCAAUGAACUUGAGAAAGCUACUCUCUCAGUAGCCAAGGCAGCAGACAACAAAGUCGACCAUCUGAAGCAAAUUGCCGAAGAUGCCGCCAAACAAAUGGGUAAAGGAGAACAAGUUCCAAACGAACCACCUCAGCAAGGCGCUUCAGUUGAGGGGGAGAAUCCACUUUCUUCAAAACAACCGAGCCCACAAAUUGAGGGGGAGAAUUCUAUUCCAGUUCCACCCGAAAGCACAACAGCACCCGAAAGACCUUCAACACCCGAAAGCUCUACAACACCCAAAAAUCCUGUAGCACCAGAAAGUCCUACUACACCUGAAAGCUCAUCAAUCGAGGGGAGAAUUCCGAUAUGUUCUACGACGAUGAUAGUCAAUCUGAAUUGGAAAAAAUGGUCAAUGCUGAACUGGAUCCAUCCUAUGAUCCAAAUUACCCUCCUCUUGUUAAAUGGACCAGAGAUCAUCUUGUAUCUCAGAUAGUGGGUAAUGUCACUGAAAAGGUCCUGACCCGAUCUCAACUGAAGGCAAAGCAAACAUCUCUAUUCUCCGAAGUAGAGUUUUGCAUGUAUAAUUCUUUCGUAUCAAAAGUUGAACCGAAGACAUUAAAUACUGCUCUUGAUCAUUCUGACUGGGUUCAAGCUAUGCAAGAUGAACUCAACGAGUUUGAAAGAAACAAGGUGUGGCGCCUCAUUCCAACUACUAAAGAUGCCUCAGUUGUUGGUCUCAAAAGGGUGUUCAGAAAUAAAAUGGACAAGGAAGGCAAUGUGAUUCGAAACAAAGCUCGUCUCGUGGUGAAAGGAUACUGCCAGGAAGAAGGAAUCGAUUAUGAGGAAACUUUUGCACCGGUAGCAAGGCUGGAAUCUGUUCGAAUAUUUCGGGCCUAUGCUGCACAAAAGAACUUCGAAGUCUACCAAAUGGACAUGAAAUGCGCUUUUCUGAAUGGAGAACUUGAAGAAACGGUUUACAUGGAGCAACCUCCUGGUUUUGUCAAUGAAAAGUACCCAAAUCACUGUUAUAUUUUGGAUAAGCAGUUUACGGUCUGAAACAAGCACCUAGGGCAUGGUAUGAAACGCUAACCAAGGUUUUAAAGAUGUCAAAAUUCAAACAAGGUUCGGUUGACCCAACCUUCUUUUGUAAGAAGGAAGGUAACCACCUUAUGAUUGUUCAAAUCUAUGUCGAUGAUAUCAUCUUUGGCUCAACGAAUCCUAGCUUAACAGCUGAAUUCAGAAAGCUGAUGGAGACUAAAUUUGAAAUGAGCUCAAUGGGUCCGAUUAACUUUUUCCUUGGUUUAAAUAUUAGACAGGGACCCGAAGGCAUCUUUAUCAACCAGGAAGCAUACACCAAGACUCUUCUUGCUAAAUUCGGCAUGAUGGGAGACUCAAAGGUUAAAUUUCCAAUGGCAUUCGACACCAAGCUCAAACCACCUUGGAAAAACCUGCAGUCGAUAUUACAUUAUACCGUCAGAUGAUUGGUUCCUUGAUGUACCUCACCGCUAGCAGGCCUGAUAUAAUGUUUUCUGUGUGUUACUGUGCUAGGUUUCAGGCGAAUCCUCGUGAACCACAUAUGCUUGCAGUUAAAAACAUACUCCGAUAUCUGAAACGAACCACCUCGGUUUAUGGUAUCCAUCAAACUCAAUUUUCUUCGUUCAAGCCUACUCAGAUGCUGACCUUGGAGGUUGUGGUUUAGACAGGAAAAGCACCACUGGAGGCUGCCAAUUCCUAGACGGGAAGUUAGUUAGCUGGCAAUCAAAGAAACAGACAUGUGUCUCUCUGUCUACAGCCGAAGAAGAGUACAUCGCAGACGCCUCCUGUAUAUCUCAAGUGAUUUGGAUCCAAAGCCAGCUCCGGGACUAUGGACUCAAUAUGAAAAAGAUCCCACUAUAUUGCGAUUCAGAAAGUGCAAUUAGGAUCUGUCAUAACCCAGUGCAACAUUCCAAGACAAAGCAUAUAGCACUGAGGUAUCACUUUAUUAAAGAUCAUGUAGAAGAUGGGAACGUCGAAAUUCAUUUUGUUCGAGCCACUGAUCAACUGGCUGACAUCUUCACCAAAGCUCUUCCUGAACCAUCUUUCAAUGAAAUCCUACAAGGGCUAGGUAUGAUGGAAUCGAAGUUAGUACCAAAAACUACUUCUCAAAAUUAAAAGUCAGAAGCGAAAUGAACCGAACGCUCGGGUUCGGUUCACAUGUGUGCCGAAAUGAACCGAACGCUCAGGUUCGGUCCUACUAUCUGAUCUUCGCUUAUCACUCAAAGGUAGUUUCUUUGGUUGUAAACCUUUUGUAUCAUUUUCUCAAAUUUAUCUCUCUUAUUUUCAAAGUUCUUUUCUUUUUCAAACUUAUUUUUUUUGCAACCAAAAUAAACCGAACGCUCGGGUUCGGUUCCAAAAUUUUUUUUAAGCCGAAAUAGACCGAACGCUCGGGUUCGGUUCCAAAUUUUUUUUUGUGUCUUUUUUUUUAUUAAAUCAAAAAUUCCAAAUUUUUUUGUGUGUCUCAUUUUUUUUAUUUUGAAAUCAAAAACUCCAAAAACAUUUUUUUAUUUUUUAUUUUUUAUUUUUGUUUGUACGAUAUUUCUUUUAUCUCUUAUUUUUGUGUGGCUAUUUGUGUGAAAAAUCUUUCAUUAGUUAAGUGUCCCUAGAAGGAUCCUGUUGUAUGUGUCCAAAGCCUCACCUGAUUCUGAAUAAUAGCCUUACUGAUUUGGCACAUACAAACCUUGUCUUCCCAAUUAGGCUUUCAUAUUUAUUCUAAUCAUGAGCUACCUGACUCUCUUCUCACAUGAGAUAAGAGUUUUCUGCUUGGUCCUUAUUUUAACAGCAGAGGUACUUUGUUUUUUCUUUACACCAUCUACACUACUUUUCUCCAUCUCAUUAGCUUCAUAAACAUAACCCUUGAGACUCUCAGAAAUUACCACUGAGGUUUAUGGUUACACAAUUUCUGUGUUUAUGAUCGUAGCUUCGUGUCACUACAUACUAAGUGAAACCCACAAUUCCAUACCUACUAUGCAUUGAUGGUGAACAAUCAACAUUGCUCUAGCAUUCACUAAUGAAUUGACGGACUUAUUCAUGGGGAUAGAAUGUGAAAUCUCUAAUUUCCUUUUGUGUGAUUCCUAUGAAAUUAUUAAAUCCCAUAACAUUUCUUCCCUUGGAAUACAGUUUUAAUUUUUUGAGAUUUUACAUAAAUUAUUUUUCAUUGCCACAUAAAAUAUUUCAAACCUACUUGUUCAACAGACUACAUUGGUCUCACAAGUACUUCGUUCGAUUACUGUCUUAUAUCAAGAUCAGGAAUUCUGAACUGAAGCGAAAACCACCCAAAUUAGCCUGAUUAAAAGAAGCCUUUCAACACUUCUCAAUAAGUGUCUGAUCAUUAUUCAACGGGAGACCACACAAACACUUUAAAGUCUCUCUUGACUUUGAAGGAAGAGAUUCGUGCCCGGGAUCCAUUGUUUCGUGUCUUUAUUGACAUCACAAAUUCCCUCAUAUGUGUUGCUUUAUUUCUUUUUCUUUUACACACUAAGCACGAAAAUCUUUUUGAUUUUCCAAAAUUCCGGUUUCAUUAGUUACAAGGCAUAUUUUUUAAUGGGAUUUGAAGUUAUAAGGGAGUUGUGGCUCACAUUGAUCCACGUGGUCAAUUUUGCUUUAAGAUGACGUUUAAUCUAAAAGGAUAAGAUGUUGACUCAAGCGGGAGUCCAAUCGAUUUGAUUUUCAAACGACGCUUGGAGGCCAAGCGUGCGAAGUGGAACCGUUUCGUUUAAAAAACGGCGCCUGAUGGGAAGGCGUGGUAAUCGGGACAGUUUUCUCUCUCAUGCGUAAUCAUCGGUGCUACCAACUGUCACGCAUCAAUCACUUCCGAAAAACCCUUUGUAUUUCCCUCGAAGAUUUGGGACAGCUUCUUCUCUCUCCUCUACUCACAGUAUAAAAGGUAACUUCAACCAUUGUUUACCUCUUUACUGCACCCAAAUUUCAGAGAGCAAGAAAUUCUUCACGUAUUCUACUGAUCAUCAUCUCUCUCAACUUCUUCACAACGAUGGCGGAUUCAUCAUCAGUUCAUGCCACUUCCCACAUCCUGCCGAUUCGUCCCCAACAGAGUUUGAUUAUCGAUCUUACUCCUCAGGUUUACGACGCCUUCAUGUUCCCAAUCAUCGAGUGCCUCAAAUACUCACUACUUGCUCCUGCACUCACCAAGGCUGAAGUAGUUCCUAUGGAGUUCUUAUCUCAGAUUUUUGCCACUGCUCAUUACGACAAGUCAGUCGAUAGGAUCUUCUUCGACGUGCUUGAUCACAAGGUGUCUAUCUCCAAACAGCGAUUCUGCUCAAUUUUAGGGUUUGAACCUGAUUCAUCUAGGGUUAACCCUGAAUCGAUUCCGAUGGGUCACAUGUUCUGUAUGUUCUACAACAUGGGGUAUACUGAGGUGCUGACAACGGUAAUGAAAAUCAAGAAAUCAUGCCUGCCUCCUCAGUGGAAUGGGUUGUUUACAGUGCUGUUCAAAGGGUUGUCUGAACGCAGUGCUGGAUCAGACGUAGCGAGUCGUCUGUUCAUCACGAUUCUUUAUGAGGUCUACAAUGGUAUCAACCUGGACUAUGGGUCGAUCCUAUGGAAGCAGCUCAUUCAGUGUCUGGCUUCUACUUCUCGGCAUUCCGAGAUUUCCUAUGCUUGUUUUUGGACUCUUGUUACAAAAUGGGUGAUGGACAAGUACCACGUCCCCAUCGUUGCUGGUUCUCCAAUGUCUUCGAUUGGUACUUUCCAUACCACGAAGAUCAUUGGUUCCAUCACUAAGUCGAUGUAUGGAGACGUUCCUGCUGACAGCCGGAUCAUUAAAACCUACAAGGAGUUUCGUCGCUCUGGUCCUAGAGAGCUUACUCCUGAGAUGCUCAAGUCUAUCCAUGAAGCCGACAAGCCUGCUCCAAGGGGAAAGAAGAAUGACAAAGGCAAAGACAAGCAGGUUGGCAAGGGAGCGAAAGGCCCUUCUCCCAAGAAGCGUAAAACUUCACAGACUGUUCAGUCUCCUCCGUUGAAGAAGAGAAAAACCCAACCAAGGCGAAAGCUGAUCAUCGCUUCCUCCUCAAGCGAAUAUGAGGAACAGAGUUCUGACUCUGACGAAUCCCCUCGUGGUAACACUCCUCCACGAUCGCCUACCCCAAAAGUUCAUUUUUCCACUCCACCUAUCUCUUCUCCACCCGUUACCAUUCCUAUUUCCAUUCCCCCCAUAACCUCCACCACUCAAAUACCACCUACCUCCAUCCCAGUACCCCCUCCCAUCUUUACAGAAGCAACCACCACAACCGCCGAAGUAAGAACCAACGUAUCUGAUCCGGGGGCUCCUACUAAAGCACCCGAACCCACACCAACUACUGAACAUACAUCCCAACCCGAACCUACUACAACUACCGAGCCUCCACCCUCACCACCACCCUCAUCUCCUACUCAGGCAGCAGAGGACGAAGAACCAUUCCUCGGCGGGGAGGAUAUGACAUUUGAUUCGGUCUAUUACAGUCCGUUUCAGGUACAGAGUGACGACAAUGAUGAUGCUCCCGUUACCAAGAAGCAUCUCAAGGAGCUUCACGAAAAGAUAGAUUCGCUCAUUGCCUCCUCUUCUUCAUCACAGUCCUCCAUCUCCGUUAGCUCAACUACUGCCACCAUUCCUGCAUCCAUGAAAGUUUGUGAGGCUACGACCGAAAAAGUCGAAAAACUAUUUUCUGAUGCUUCCUCUCUGUUACAAUCUUUACAGGAAACUGUCGAAGCCACCAAAACAAAGUUGGAACCAAUUGUCAGCCAGCUGGCUACCUCAGUUGCAUCAGAACUGAAGUCGUUUGCUUCUCUUCGUCAAACUCUCUCAGACGACAACUCCGCUUUUAAGAUGACCAUUGAGGAGCGACUCACCAAGCUUCAAGAAGAUCUAGCUACUGAGAACUCCCUCAUGGACACUCAAGAGUAUUCAACUCUCCAAUUCUCAAAAGGAGAUUGAGUCUCUUUGAUCUGAAAGAGAGAUUGUGUCUUCGUGUGUUUCGGAUGUCCACGCAGCCAUUUCAAACAUCCUGGAAGCACAUGACCCGAUACUCAACUACUCUGUGAGGUGAGAUCUUGCAGAAAAACUUGCUCCUGCCCUUUCUCUCCUGAGCAAUAUUGAAGGGCUCCUUGAUUUCGUGUCCAUUCCGAAACAAGGGGAGAAAAAGAAAAUGUGUCUCAACCGCCUCCUACUUCAACAGCAACCAAAACAACCAAACCUCCUCCGACAGGCCAAGCCUCAGGUUCGGGUGUAAAAGACAAGGGCAAGAAAAUUGCUGAAGAGAGCGAUGAUGACAAAGAGACCAUUGCCGAUCUUUUGAAGAAACAGGGUCGAGACAAAGAUGCUGACAUCAACGCUCGUGUGGCUAGAGAGGCUGAAGAAGCCGAAAGAAAGCAGAAAGAAGCUCACGACCUUCUCGAGAGUAGGAAGACUCUUUUUCCUCCAUGGACUCAUGAGAAGUUGCUGAAAGAAGCCAUCGAAACUCCAAGCAUCUUGUGGCUAGAACCAGUGAUCUCACUUGAUCGUGAUAAUUCUGUCGAUUCUCAGUUCGACAUGCCACUGACCUGAAUGGCAUUUUUCUUUCAUGCCUUUGACAACAUUGCUGAGUUCCCUCAUCCUCAUCCAAAGGUUGACAGGGAUUUGGUAGAAUUCUAUCUGAGGGUCGUUCAACCAUAGUAUCAAACAUGGAGCGCUCAGAAGAUAGUCAAUGUUCGGGUUCUCAAGCCGUAUCGGGAAGGAAACUUCACCAACGUUUGGUUUAAGGUGCUGAGAGGAUCUGCCAGGACCGAACAUGCCAUCUCGCUUGCUGAUCUUCCCAACUUGAAUCCACACGACUGGAUAAUUUUGCACAACAUCCUUCUUACAAAUGAAGCCGAAUAUGGUCCGAUCAUCGACCACUUUAAGAGGAUGCUUGUUUGCUACAUCAUGGAAGUCGCCAAGUUGGAUCAGUAGAUAGCGAGGGUAUUCAAGAAAAAGCCUACUAUUUCUCCUGUUGGCUCAGCAAGUGAUCUCAACUUGAUGCAGAUGGGGAAGAUAGACCCGAAGAGAAACUCUGUUAUGUUUACCAGAAACGAAGGCCAAAAAUGCCUGUUCGCUUUGGCUGACAAACAUCUCUAUACCACUGCAUGCCUGGAACAUGUCUUAGGGAUCAUUCAUCGAUGCAAGCAGAACUCAGCGGAUGACAAGAAGUACUUUGAUGAUAUGAUUCAAUGGUACAUUCGCUUCAGACAGACAAUUCUCGCACUUAUCUCUCGUCUGUUUGAUACAACCAAGAAGGUUCCAGUAGCUAGUCCAAGCAAGAAGAAAUGAUAGUCUCGCUCCAAAUUGAUGCAAAGAGGGAGAUUGUUAGGUCCAGUUUAGUGUUGCGUCUUUGGGCUCAUUAGCUAGUCCAAGUUUUGUCUCCGGUAUGGGACUGUCCAUCCGUGAGUUUCGUAUAGGGUUUAUUAUAUAUAGAUGCUUACAUGCAUUCUUGAAAGGAAUGUUUUGAUAGAGAUUUGAUAGCGUAAAAGUUCUUAUCAUUUGUAACCCUAGAAUUCUCUACAGCGGAAGUUCUUCAUCGAGCUCUGCUGAGGAUUGAGUUAAUCAAAUCAUUCGACUCAUUCAGAUCCAUACUUGAGUUUUUGUUUAACUGUUAUUACUUUCUUUAUUUGCCUGUUUUAAAGAUCUAAUUGAUCAAAGAUUUUUAUAAACUCAUCAACUCGCCGAUUUUGAAGAACAACUCGUCGAGUACCAGAAAAUCUUCAAAGGACUCACUGAGUUGUUCAUCCAACUCGUCGAGUCCAACACCAUCUUCAUAGAACUCGCCAAGUCCACUUUUGGAACUCGCCGAGUCCCUUCCACUCUCCUCCCAUACAGACCAAAUCUGAGACAUGCAACGGUUCCAGACCAUAGAUCUAAGCUCCUAGGGCAUGCUUAUCACGUAAAGUUGCAAACUUUACGUGCAUGCAUGGCCCUAUAAGCUCCAACAGGCAAUUCCAAGCUCUUUAUGAGGUCAUGCACUCAAUAAGGACCUCAAUCACUUCAACCACAAGGACUUUAUACUUAUAAGAUGUCCAUAAGGUCCAGAUCUAAAGUCCUUUUAGAACAUAGAGCAUAAACACAUGGAGUUUGAGGUUUUAGGUCUUGAAAACCACUAAUUUGGGACAAAAAGGGGAUCUAAUGAACUAGUGAUCAAGGUAGGAACUUUUCUACCUGAAUGAAAGCUUCUCACAGUGUAGAUUCCGGAUCUACCUCCCUUCCUUGCACUCUUCAACCUCCUCCUUCUUCUUCUAAGCUCCAAACUUCCUUCACAAAGCCAAAAUCACUCACAAGAACAAUAUGGGGGCUAGGGUUUCGCUCUACAGCUUUCUAGAAGUGUUAGGGACAAAGGAGGCCAAGUUACAGCGUUUAAAUAGGGUGAAAACACCCAGGUUAGGGUUUUGCCCAGACAGGGACUACUCUCCGAGUCCACAGCUUAGACCCCGCGUCUUAUCCCGCUUCUACUCGGCGAGUUGGUCCUUCAACUCGCCGAGUCCAAGGCCAAAAUUGCAAUAUUUAAAGAUUUAAUUAGAAAGAUUACGUACCAAGAACCAGGUGCUACAAAUCUCCCUCACUUAUUUUUGACUUCAUCCUCAAAGUCUGUUGCUCGUCCCUGAAAUAGCACGGGGUAGUGCUCUAUCAUCUCUUCCACCGGCUUCCAAGUCCACUCUGAUCCUUUCCGGUGCUGUCAUUGCACCUUCACGAGUCCCACCCUUUUGUUCUUCAAAUCCUUCGACUUCAGGUCGAGGAUCGCUACAGGCCGCUCGAUGUAAUUCAGCUUGCCGUCAACCUGAAUGUCCUCCAAGGGUACUACUGCUGAGUCUUCCACCAGACACUUCCGCAAAUGAGAGACAUGGAAAGUGUUGUGUAUCUGAAUGAGUUCGGUUGGCAAAUCCAGCCUAUAUGCCACCUUGCCCACCCGGGCUAUAACCCUGAACGAUCCAAUAUACCUUGGGCCCAACUUGCCCUGCUUCCUGAAUUAAAUGACGCCUUUCUAAGGCGACACUUUCAGGAGGACCAUAUCUCCGACCUGGAACUCCAGGUCUGAUCGACGCUUAUCGGCAUAACUAAUCUGCCAACUCUGAGCAGUCUGAAGCCUGCUUCGGACAUGCUGAAUCUUCUCUGUUGUCUUGAGCACCACUUCGGUGCUUCCCAUGACUAUCUGACCAACCUCUCCCCAACAUAUCGGGGUCCUGCACCUCCUCCCAUACAACAUCUCGAAGGGAGGACGGUCGAUGAUCGCAUGAUAGCUAUUAUUAUACGAGAACUUCGCCAACGGAAGGUAGGUAUCCCAACUACCUCCCGAAAUCUAGAACACAUGGCCGCAACAUAUCCUCCAACGUUUGGAUAGUCCGCUCGCUCUGACCAUCCGUCUGCGGGUGAAAAGCGGAGCUGAAAUGCAGACAAGUACCCAAGUCGUCAUGAAACUUCUUCCAAAACCUGGAAGUAAAACGCACAUCCUUAUCUGCAAUCACCGACACUGGCACCCCAUGUCGCGCCACUAUCUCCCUGAUAUAGAUGUCGGCCAACUUCUCGGUCGAGAUGCUCUCCAGAAUCGGAAUAAAAUGGGCGCUCUUGGUCAAUCGGUCCACGAUGACCCAUAUCGAAUCCACUUCUCGCACGGUACAGGGAAGCUUCGAUAUAAAAUCCAUCGUAAUAUCUUCCCAUUUCCAUAGCGGGAUAUCCAACAGCUGCAUCUUACCGUGUGGUCUUUGGUGCUCGGCCUUGACCUUCCUACAGGUCAAGCAACGCUCCACGUACCAGGCUAUAUCCUGCUUCAUGCAAGGCCACCAAUAAUCCAGACGAAGAUCCCUAUACAUCUUCUUUGCCCCGGGAUGAAUGGAGAAUCUAGACUUGUGUGCCUCGGAGCAUCAAAACCUGGCGCACGCCUCCAUGGUACGGCACCCACACCUUAGUGUGUAGUGUUAACAAACCUCGACUGUCAUAGUCGAAAGAGGAAAUCUGACCCACAAUCCUCUCACUCUUCCAAUGUUCCUCCUUCAUCGCCUCCCGAAUCUGCUCUAGCAGCGGGGUCACCAUUAUCAUCCUCAAACAGACAUCCCUGAUCGGUACCGCCUUGCGGCUAAGUGCAUCGGCCACCACAUUGGCCUUCCCUGGGUGGUUAAGGAUCUCACAAUCAUAAUCCUUCACCACAUCAAGCCACCGACAUUGCCUCAUGUUCAGAUUUGGCUAAUCCAUAAGGUACCUCAAGCUCUUGUGGUCCGUGUAAAUCGUACAGCGAACCCCGUAGAGGUAGUGACGUCAAAUCUUGAGGGCGAACACCACAGCCCCCAGCUCCAAAUCAUGCGUCGGGUAGUUCGCCUCAUGAGGCUUCAGCUGCCUCGAGGCAUAAGAAAUGACAUGCCCUCUGUGCAUCAAUACCGCGCCCAGACCUGAGAUGGACGCGUCGCAAUAAACAAUGAAAUUCUCCACGCCCUCUGGCAGGGCUAUUGGCGCCUCGCAUAAUCUCUGCCUCAACGUCUCAAACGUCGCCUGCUGCUCAGGCCCCCAUCGGAAGAUUACAGCCUUCCUCGUUAGUCGCGUCAAGGGUACAACUAUCUUGGAGAAAUCCUGGAUGAAUCUCCGAUAGUACCCUACUAACCCUAGAAAACACUGAAUCUUAGAUGGAGACUUCGGAACCUCCCACCUCAUCACGGCCUCUACCUUGGCCAGAUCCACCGAAAUCCCGUCCUGGUUGACAAGGUGCCCAAGAAACUGCACCUCGCGCAACCAAAACUCACACUUAGAGAACUUAGCAUAUAAGCUCUCUCUCCUCAGGGUCUCCAACACCUCUUGUAGAUGCCACUCGUGCUCCUCCCGCGUCUUGGAAUAAACCAAGAUGUCAUCAAUGAAAACUAUCACAGACCGGUCCAGUAUCGGUCUGCACACGCGGUUCAUGAGGUCCAUGAACGCGACAGGAGCAUUGGUGAGCCCAAACGGCAUGUCAUAAUGGCCAUAGCGUGUCUGAAACACGGUCUUCUACACAUCCUCCUCUCUGACCCUCAUCUGAUGGUACCCCAAUCGCAGAUCAAUCUUGGAGAACCAAGAUGCUCCCUGAAGCUGGUCGAAGAGGUCAUCAAUCCUCGGGAGUGGGUAACGGUUCUUCACUAUCACCUUAUUCAGCUCCUGGUAAUCUAUACACAUCCGGUGCGACCCGUCCUUCUUUUUCACAAACAGAAUUGAGGCUCCCCAGGGAGAACUACUUAGUCUAAUGAAUCCCUUGUCUAUCAGCUCCUGCAGCUGUGUAGACAACUCCUACAUCUCGGGAGGAGCCAACCGAUAUGGUGCCUUGGCUAUCGGGGCCGUACCAGGGACUAAGUCGAUCCUGAACUCCACCUGUCGCUCCGGAGGUGUCCCAGGCAACUCCUCGGGGAAUACGUCCACAAACUCUUGAACCACGGGCACAUCGCCCACUGUCGCCUUACCCGCCUCCCGGACGUCCAUGAAAGAAGAGACAUAUCCUGCACAACCUUGCUGAAGGUAACGCCUAGUUCUCGCUGCUGAGCAUAAGGCUGGUCCUCCAUGUGGCCUCUCGCCCUGAAUCACCAGCUCUCCCCCACUUGGGGUCCUGAUCCGCACCAACUAUUGCGCGCAGUCGAUCAUUGCCCCCAUUGGGGCUUAACCAAUCCAUACCGAUAAUAACCUUGUUCCCCCGCAAAGGUAUAGGAACCAGGUCGACCAAAUACCACUCCUCAAACAAUCUCAAUACAAAAUCCCGGAAGACCUCUGAUGCUUGCACUGACCGGUCGUCCGCAAUCUCAACCUCUAGAGGGCAAUCCAACAUUCCCGAGGGCUCAGGAAACUUCUUGCUAUGCGCAAGAGAAACAAAUGAUCGGGUAGCCCCCGAAUCAAACAACACCUGAACUGGGAUACCGUUCACAUGGAACGAUCCUAAACAGAGCACAUACAUAUAACAUAUCAAAAUUACAGCAGCAUAACAUAAAGCAUAAAUAAGAAAUCAUACCCAUCACCACAUCGGGUGUGGCGCGUUCCUCCUCUAUAGUCAGCUGAAAGGCCCGACUCCUCACCACUGGAGCCUCCGACUUGCCCUGCUGGCCAUCUGUGAUCCUCAGGGUCGCUGGAGGUGGCGCCUUCACUGGAACUGAUGCUGCUAUCAACUAGGGGCAAUUGGCCCUCUUGUGGCCCCUCUGGUUGCAGUGGAAACACAGCAAAUCAGAUGUCUGAACAACCGAGGCAGGGGAAAUACAAUCCCUGCUAAAGUGUCCCGUAUUGCCGCACUUCCUGCAACGGCCCGGUCCUCCUUGGCUUUUCGGCCUACCAUCUGAUCCCUUGGGCUUCUUCCCCGAAGCCCCAGCCACCUGCCAUGCCUUUGCCUUCCUCUCCCGGAUAUGCUCCAAAUCAAUCUCCCUCUCCCUUGCCCUGGUAAUCAUGGACUCCAGGGUAGGGCAAGCUGAAAAGCUAACAUGCUCUCGGAUGUCAGGCUGUAGCAUGUGAUGAUAGCGGGUCCUCCUCAUAUCCUCAUCUCCCGCAUACUGGGGAACCAGCAAUUCCCUCUCCCGGAACUUGGCGGUGAUCUCCGCCACAGUCUCCGUAGUUUGUCUCAUGUCCAAAACCUCUCUGUCCAGCUGCUGAAGCUCUACCGCUGGCGCAAACUCUGCUCGGAACUGGGUCAUAAAAUCUGACCUUGUCAUAGCCUCAACAGCUGAGGCUCCCAAUGAGUCACCAACAGACUCCCACCAGUCUCUAGCUCUGUCUCUCAAACACCAUGUUGCAUAUCUCACCUUCGACCCCUCGGGGCAGAAGCUGGUCAGCUGUGCGGACUCAAUGUCCGCAAUCCAUCACCUGGCAGUAAUAGGCUCCUUCACCCCAUGGAAAUCUGGCGCACCACUACCCCUGAAGUCCUUAAAGGACAGUGUGCGAGAUCCUGACUGGCGAGAUGCCAUGUCACUCCUGAACACCCUGAGGCGGUCCUCCAUUAGCUCAACUAUCCCUUCCUUGAUCGACCCGAAAAUGAUGGGGGUUGACUCAAGGAUGCCUCUGGUGAUCUCUGACACGAUGAACUCGCGUAGCCUCUCAUCUACUGGCUCAAAACCUGAUCCCGAACCUGAUCCCUCUCUAGAACUGCAACCUGGUUGCCUCUGACGUAGUAUCACCAUUCUGCAAUACACACAGGCAACCAUUAGUGAUACUGAUACCUCUAAAGGGAUCACAUCUAUUACAAGUUCCCUGGUCUUGCCUCAGCCUUCCUUAAUUCGGGUACGGAUCCUCUACAUUCAGUAGUACGGGCCCAUACUACCUUCCACAUCUAUCUGUACCUUCCUCAAGGGCAGCCUUGACUCCACCAGAUCCUUUUCUCUACUACUGAUCCUCUGCUAUUCCCAUUCUAGGCUUGCCCUAGGGAAAAUCUCUGACUCCACCCAAACCGGUCCUCAGCCGCUGAAGGCCUCCUUGUAAUGCUAGUUAGCCAUUACCUGAAUACCAUCACAUGUUAUGAGGCUCAGAUAAUCCUUCGAGUAACAUACUCUUCCCUACAACGGUUAGACUCAAACAAGAGUUGCACAAUAGGGCCAAAUCCACUACUCUGAGAUUAUUCAACCAUGAUCACAUGUAAUGUGACGUAUUCACCGAAUGGCUAACUUCCAUCAUGCAGAGUCCCACAUAGCACAAAGGAAACAACAUUCGGACGGAGGAAAACUACUCAAGCAAAUUGGUCCUCAAAAUGAGAAGUUGAACUAGCAUAUAAUGCUAAGCUCAUACUACCAGGCAUAACCUAAUUAGGCUAUCCUACUACUGUCUAGUCAAUACUAGCAUGCAAUUCUAAUAAGCUGAAGCACAUAAAGCAGGAACAUAAGGCAUCAUUCCUAGAUCCUUAGUCCUAUUCUAGCAUGCUUCUCUACUGAAUCUGAUAAACAUAAUAAAACAUUGUAUGGGUACUUUGGGGAAUACUUACUUGAGCUCGGUUGGUCGCGCACAUCACACACUUCGUUCUUUCUUGAAACUCAUUACUUAUUCCUUUAGAAAACUUUUGCUUUUUCGAAAUCCUUUAAUCCCUUGAUUUGAAUUCCAACACCCCCAAGGUGUGUCCGAAUCCCUCAAACCAGGGCUCUGAUACCAACUUUUAACGACCCAAUUUUCACGACCAAAAAUUUCAUUUUUAAAUCAAUACUUUGGAAAACAUUGGUGAAUAAACAUCAUUUGAUCCCAUCAUUUCAUAAACAUAUUUCGUGUCUGAAAGCCAAAACAUAAAAAAAACCAUAAUGUUAGAGUACAAAUCCCAGAAUAACACAUGGUGUGGAAAACAAUGUGCGUGUUUGAUAUGCCGCAACCGCGCCAGCUCUUUCCCCUUCGAAGAAGAGGUACCUGAAACCGAAACUGUAAACUGUAAGCACGAAGCUUAGUGAGUUCCCCCAUAAUACCACAUACCAUACAAUCAUAUAAUGAAUAGCUAGGAGAUACGGGCCUCGCCCACACUCAUGGAGAUACGGGCCUCGCCCACGCUCCGCUAGCUGGGAGAUACAGGUUGUCUGUCUGGAUGGAGUGGUCAAGGUUAUUUAGCAUGCCCUACUUGUAAUGAGGACACAUCUUCAAUUUGUGUGACAACAAGAUAUCUUAUGUUGGUCACAAACGAUUCUUGAAUAUGAACCAUAUCUGGAGGGAGAGUCUACUGUUUGAUGGUCAAUCUGAGACAAGACCAUGUCCUAGACGAUUCAUUAAUGCAACUAUAUUAAAGCAAGUAACUCAUCUCUCUGAUUGUAUUCCACAGAAACAUCCUAAUCAUGGGGGUCAAAAAAGAAAGCGCGGGGAUGAAAGAAAAAAAAGAAAGAGUUGAAUUGGACAAAACAAAGUAUCUUCUUUGAACUUGAAUAUUGGUCUUCCCUCGACCUAAAACACAAUCCCGAUGUUAUGCAUGUUUCAAAAAAUAUGAAUGAGAGUGUGUUGAAUACUCCACUAAUGAACGAUAAAAGCAAAGACAGAAAAGAAGUAAGAAUUGACUUGAGAAAUAUGGUCAUUCGACCAAAUGAAUGGCCAAAAGAGAAAGUCAAGAAUAAGAAGAAAGACAACAACAACAAGGAAGAAAAAAGAAGAAAGAAAUACUCUCAUAUGCUUCUAACUCUCUCAAACCAAUUAAUUGACAAUGUUUCUAUCAGUUCAUUAAAGGAGUGAGACUACCUGAUAGUUUUGGAUCGAAUUUUAAAAAGACGUUUAGGGAUACUGAAUCAAAUUUAGUUGGGUUGAAGUCUCAUGAUCAUCCCAUUGCCAUGCAACAAUUACUACCUAUAGGGGUUCGAGCACGUCUCCCGCCAAAUGUUUCAAGAACAAUCAUUUGGCAUGUGUACAUUCUUUAAAAAAAAUUGUGCACAGUAAUUGGAUGUUAACGACAUGAGAAAUGCUAGAACAAACGUGGUGAAGAUCUUAUGCAAUCUUGAGUUGAAAAAUCCUACAAAAUUUUCCAACAUAAUGAUUCAUCUUUUUUCAUUUAUCUCAAAAAGCCAUUCUUAGAGGUCAUGUACACAUUAUAUGGAUGUAUCCUUUUGAAAGAUAUAUGAAAAAACUUAAAUAUUAUGUCUGAAACAAAGCCAGUUUAGAAGGUUCAAUAGUAGAGGAUUAUGUUGCAGACGAAGCUUUGACAUUCUGCUCUAUGUAUCUUGAGGGUAUGCAAAAUAAAUUCAACCGUGCUGAUAGAAAUGAUGAUUCUGACCUUCCAAGAAGGCAAUUUUCUGUGUUCUUAUCACAAUUUCGAACAAUGUCGGCUAAGAAAAUUGUCGAACUUUGUAAAGAGGCCAAAAAAUCGUUGCAUUUGUUUGUACUAAACAAUUACGAUGAAGAUGAGAUGAGAUGCUACAAAUCUUAAGUUUCUAAUCUGUUAACUACAUUUUCGAUAGUGUUAUAAUAUAUUUUAACUAUUCUAAUCGUUUUGUCCCUCAUCCAAUGAGUUCAAAUCAGAAUUGCCUGAAAGUGAUUUCAAAAUGGAAUUUCCUUCAUGGUUCAAAGAAAAGGUAAAUAUGUUAUAUAUUUAUUAUGUAAAACUAAUGUAAAAUAUUGGAUAUAUUUUUAAAAUUUUAAAUUUCUAAUUUUCCAAUUCUAUAUGUAAAUGUAGCAAAAGCAAAGAAUGUGAAUGUAUGUAGCAAAUGGAAAAACAUAAAGUUGUACGAUGAGUAUAAAGAUAACGUUCCUAACCCUUUGGUCAUGAGACUUGAUACCUCUGGGAGGACGUAUCGAUUCGUGGGGGACAACGUGCAAUUGUUUGUCAGAUUGAUCUCAAAUUUGGUGGAAUCAGAGGUAUCGUUGCAUUAUCAUACUUGGUCUCGUGUUCCUACCAAGUACAAAGAUAAUUUAUAUCCCGAGCUAGAAGUAAGUAUACAAUAUAUUUCAUAUGUAUUCAAUUUUACACUUAUUAAAUAUUUCUUUUACUAAUCAAAUAUAUUUUUUUGCAGACUUAUUUUGAUCUUGAUAGGUAUUGGGGCACAUACUUGUGGGAACCCAUUGAGCGAGUAUCCAUGCAAAUUUGCAAAGAGCUUAUCAAGAUCGCAAGCAUGAAAUGAAAAAUAAUUUUGAUAGAGUUGGUGGAUAUGAGGAUGUGGAAAGGGCAAGAAGACAUCCACCAACUGAUUGGUCCGCCGAAGCUUGGAAUAAGAUGAUUGAUUUGUUGUUUUUAACCGAUGAAUAUAAACGCACAUCGACCAAAAAUAAAGUUACUAGGUCGAAACUUCGGCACACAAGUGCUCAUGGAUGUAAGUCCUAUCCUCAAAGACAUUAUUUAGAGGUAAUAACAUAUAUUAGUAUUAUUUAAAAUUGUUAUUAACACUUGUAUAAAUAUUUUUUUACUUAAUAUUGGAAAAACUAGGACUGAAGCCGCAACAUAUUGAGGGUUGGAGACAAAUGAGCUACAAAGAAGGUUCGGGUUGGUGUACAAGUCGAGCACGAGAAUAUUGAGUAAGUGAUAAACAAAAAUAAUAUGUUGUUUAAAUAUGUUAUAACUAUUAAAUAUAGUUUUUUAUUUAAGGUAUAUUAUUAUUAUUUUAAUGUUUAAAUUUAGUUGUUUGUUUAAAUAUCGUAGGUUUAUUAUUUUCUUUAUUUUAGGAGAAAAUUCAAGACGGAUAUGAGAAAAUGCAAAGCACGGUCGGGGAACGCGGAGACGUAGAUGCGGAAUAAUGUUUCACAUGUGCCCUUAAGACGAGAUGCGGGCAUGCUCAUGGACUAUGUAGGAGACCAACCGCCAAUUUCGGUUUAAUUCCAAAUGAACAGGCUUCCGCUUCCACAUCUUCCCAAUGUCAAUCCAAAUUUCAAUCCCAAUUUGAUGCACAACAAAUGCAAGAAUACUUGCAACAAUAUAAUGCAUCAUUGGCGAUAUGUAUUCCUAACUUCCAAUUACCAACAUUUCCUAGCUUUCUAUUCAACACACAAGGAAGUACCUAUUAACAGAAUGUCAAGCGCGAGAAGAAGAAGAAGAAGAAGAAGAAGAAGAUAAUGAUGGUUGAUGUUUUGUUUUAUUUUGAACAAUGUUAACUACUUAUUGUAAUAUUAAACUUGAAUUUGAUGUUUUGAGUUUAAACAAUGGUAGCUGUUAUUGUAUCUCAACUGAUAUAUGUUGCAAAGUGUUUGGAUUUGUUAAAAAUACAGGAAUUGCAAUGUAUAGAAUCUGUAAAACUAAAAAAAAAACACCUAGUGGCUAUCCUGAUGACAAGUCGUCGCUAUAGGUAUUUCAUCGACAAAUGUGAAAAACCCUGUAGCAACGACAAGUCGUUGCUAUAGGUGGUAUAUAUGUCGUCGCGACAGGCAAUUGUUAACACUUUAUUUUUUUUCCGAAAAUAUUCUUGACCAAAACUGUACCAACGAAAGGUCAUCGGAAUAGGGGUACCUAUCUCGAUGAUUCCUAUGUCGACGACGUUUUUGACCUAUCCUGACAUGCCUAUGUCGACGACUCAGUCCCGAUGACUUGUCGUCGGUAUAUCCUAUACCGACAACCUGUUAUCGGUACAAGGUCAGAAAUUAUCAUCGCCACAUGGGGUUAAUGUUGCAGUGUUAAUUGCUCUUCAUCUCUAGUUUCCGAUGCUAUGAGUUGAUCAAGAAAAUCAUUUACUUACUAUGCCAAACUCAACCUGUCAUACACCUUACUUUUUCUAUAUACUUAUUAAUUAAUUCUGUCUAUUUCUGGCCAUCAUCUUUAUCAUUUUUAAAAGAGAAGAAUGAACAAAAACAUUAAUAUUUCAUUCUUGAUCCUAAUAAUAGUAAGCUGUGGAUUUCCAUUUUAGGAACCCAAUGACUUUGCUAACUAGUGCAUGCAGAGUCUAUGAAAUGAACACCCAUAACAAAAUUUAGGCUCGACAGAGUGGGGUCGGCACCACUCGGAAAACACCGCACCGGGUCCCGACGACCUAGGUCGGUGAUGGUAUCCGAUGAACUUCUGCCGAUGAGAGAGAAAGGGAUGUAUGAAUUUAUUAAUUUUUUCUUCUUUUACCAUUCAAAUAAUUUUUCAUUUUCAAAAAAUACCAUAUUUUCAAAAACUACCACCUUUUCAAAUUAUAACCGUAUUGUUUUUUCAAAAUUUCAAAUUUUAAACCUUUAAUCCCAAACUAUAAAUACAAUCAUCCUUCAUCAUUUUCAUAAAUUUCAAAUCUUUUUAAUUCAAUUCUCCUAAUUUUCUUAUUUUCCAUCUUCUUUAUAAUCUCAUCGCUAAAAAAUGGCUCGUGUUUGGUCAACUGAUGAAGAGAUCAUAUUGGCUGGGUUGAUGUAACAGAAGACACAAUCAACAUUAACACCAAUGUGACUACUUUCUGGAGUAGAGUCACAGAAAGAUUCAACCACAAAGCCACUCUACCUAGAAGUAAAGAUCAACUCUUCUAUAAAUAGAGACAUAAAGGCACAAUUUGAGUUCAGUUUAACAAUCUGCUUCAUAGGGUGAUGAGUGAAGCCGAGCAAGGUGAAAAUGAAAAUACUUUGUUUGUGAAUGCUCUCCAGAGUUUCCGCCAAGAAACCACCAAACCUUUCCUACAUAUCGAGUUUUAGCAAAUUUAGAGGCAUUCCCCAGACGAUGUCAAAUUUAAGCUCCUUUUCUUCUAAUUUCUGGUGGUGUUGUUUGUUUCAAUUUCUAGUGGUGUUUUGUGUUAGUUUAAUUUCAAGUGUGUUAUCAAAUGUGUGAUUUCCAUUAUAUAAAUUAAAUAUUAAAAAAAUUAGCAUAGCAAGCGUGGCAACCCAUGCUAUGUAAAUGGAAAAUUUUGGUUGUAGUGUAGCAAAUAUGAUGUGGUGCCUACGUGGUCUGUGGCAAGCGUGACACCACUCCCACCAGCCUUACAACUUUAUAUUAUGUUCUCUAACAAGGAACUCUUCACAAACCCUCACCAAAAAGAUAUCAAAAUCAAGAUAAUGGAAAAAAAUAUGGUAGAUUUUUUUUACGACUGGUUAGUGGUUGUAACUUUGUAAUACUAAGUACAAUUUGCUAAAACCCAUAUCAAACCGAUAUUAGAACCUGGUACCUCGAAUCUAAGAGGAAAACCUUCUAUGAAGUGGUCUAGUCCCACAUUGGCCUUUAACGUUAAAGAAGAGAAAAAUAUCGUAGAUUAGUUUGACAAUCACAAAAAUAGACCCCAAAUCUCUAAUCGCAUCAUCUGUAAAAGACUUAGAAAGCAAUAGUUAGCAAAACAUAAGAUUUCGAACUAUAACAUGUAAUAAAAAUCAGCUCGAAUAGAUGAAAAUUUUAAAAAUAAGUGCACGAAAAGUUCAGUCGAUUAAUAUAAAGAAUAAUAUAUUUCGAAAUCCAUAUCAACAUGUAUCCAAAAAUAUAAAUUUUGCAAAAAUCUAACGCCGUCUGAAUUAGAUAUGAUCAUUGUAAAAUAUAAAAAUGAGCAUCGUGUAAGAGGGAACGCUAGAAAGCUACAAAAAAAAGGUUGACCUUUGGAUAAAGUCACCAAAAGGAGAAUCGUAGUACUCCUCGACAUAAGAACUUUGAGACACAGAAGACCAAAAAUGGAGUAUGUAUGAGAGGGAUAUGAUUUUUGUAAAAUCAUUUAAAUCAUAAAAUAAGGGCUAAAAAUAAAUUUGAAAUUAUCUAAUACAACCUAAAUAAAAGUUGUAGUACUCGACGAUAGAUACACAUGUGUGUGCAUAUAUAUAUAUAUAUAUAUAUAUAUANNNNNNNNNNNNNNNNNNNNNNNNNNNNAUAUAUAUAUAUAUAUAUAUAUAUAUAUAUACAUACAUUCACAUGUGCGUUGCACAUAUGAAGGUGUGCCACGCGCACACCAAAACCAGCCACUAUAAAUAGAGACACUCACCCUCUCUCUUUUCACGCCUCACAUCACUCUCUAUUCUCUCAAUCGAUCCACAUAAAUUCCCUUCUUCUUAAUGGCUCUAGUCUACCGAUGCGAAAAUAUGGAGCAACCAAAUUACAAUCCAAGGGUGAGCUCACAACCUUGCUUUUACAACUUUAUAGGGGAAUACAUGUUAAUAUGCUACAUUAUCGAUUUUACAAAACACAUGAAACGUUAGGAUGAUAUUAUGUAUGGUAGUUACCCUGCCAAAAGUUUUUAGGAAUUAUAUUAUGCCUAGUCGUUAUGUUACUCAAAACCAUAAGAUGAUAUUAUACCUCGUAGAAACUUUACUGUAAUUUAUAAUAUUAUACCUAGUUAAUAUGUUGGUCAAUCUCCUAGGAUAACAUAGCGCCUAGAUCUUAUGUUCGCCAAAUCUUAGGAUGAACAUUGUACUUAGUUGUUACUAUGCCCUAAUAUCCUAAAACAAAAACAUCGACGCUACGAUAAUUAUAUANNNNNNNNNNNNNNNNNNNGAUGUUUUAUUUGUAGGAUAUUUGGGCAUAGUAACAACUAAGUACAAUGUUCAUCCUAAUUAUGGAAGAAAAUAACAACAAGAGAAAACUAAAGAGUAACAAGAACGAUAAAACAUACUAUAAGGUUAAAUAAAACAUUUUAGAUGAGGAACGAUAAUUCAUCCAUAGGCUAAUUAGUUUUCAUCUAACCACGGACAAUAAUCGUUAAAUCUUAAGUGAGUGGAAAAGAUAUGUAUAGAUCUAUACAAGAUUGACACACCCACCUAUGGUUGCUAUCUACAAACCCUGACGGUAAAGGGUGUGACAGAUUGAUAUCAGAGCCAUAGGUUAUAAAGAACUUUGGGAGAUGCAGCAAUGAGGUGACUGGAUUCAACUGUGGAAAGACUGCUCAUUAUGCUAGCAACUAAACCCAAAGUGCGCGUUACAAAUAUGGAGAAGCAAGGUAUCUCAGGAGUGACAGCCCAAAGGAAAACAAAGUUGCAAGGACGAAUGUGCUACCAAAACAAAAGACAUUGGCAUUUUAGAUGACCCUGGAAGCAACAGAAGGUGAAGCAGAAUAGAGUAGGAAGCUGCUUAUCCAGAGUCCAAGAUAUGAAGUAGUCGUCAUAUAUAGAUAAUAUUAUUUUAUGUAGCCUGAUGAAAAAGUCAUGGAGUAUGGUGAACUUGAAUAACAUUUCAAUAUUUUUCAAGAAGUUAUACAAUACCUAAUUAUGUCAUGAUAUUCGAUGUGUUAAAUUGCUAUGUUACUUUAUUGAAUGGUGAGUUGGAGAACUGCGAGGCUAUUGUUAGGACGAGUAUGAGUAGGUGUGAUAGGUAGUAGAGACCUAUACUACCGGUAGCUUACGACUCACACUUUGAUAAAAAAAGUCACAAGGUUACUAAGGCACUAGUAGUUGAUUUUGUUUCAUCUGCAUCCGUCAUUACCAUCAUUUCGGUAAUAACUGAGAAAAUGAUUGUUAUUCUGACCCCAGUGAUCAUAAUGAAUCGAGUCCGAUUAAGGUAAACCUGCAAAGUAAGUUACUCAGUUCACAAAAACAUGUUCGAUGUAGUAUCUGAGUUUAGUUAGAAGAUUGACGGUAAAGAUAAUUGAAGCAAUCUGCAGAAGUGUUGCAGCCAAUGUUAAAGGCUAAGCAACCCGAAGCUAGAAAUGCUACAUGUUAGGAAGUGAUUAUAUUACAUUAGAACAUGAAAGAAUAUAUCUUCUGUGCUAAAGUUUGACUCAUACAGACUUAAGUCUAGCCAUUGCAUCAUGCAAUGGAAAGGUCAUUAGAGCAUGACCAUUUGGUCUGUUACGGUAACCGAAGUAAUGACCUUAUCAUGGAUUGAGUCUGUUUGAUAAGGAGUGGGAGUCUACGAUGAAGAUCGAGUUUGUAAUUCUAAGGUUAGGAUUGAAGGUCCAACAAGGAAUUAAGAGCAGGUGCAAGCUUGAGCACCACCAACAACUAAGAAGUCCAAGAUCUUGAUAAGGAAGGAAUAGAUGUUACGGUUAUAACUUAGGAUGGAAAAGUCACUCGUGGGAUCAUUGUCCAACCUUGUUUUGCUGUUGAUUCUGGCACGUAAUCAUCCUAAGGGGUAGAUAACUGUAACACCCACAAAUUUGGGCUAAGCAUUUAAGAUAUAAUAGAUAAUCUUAGCUAAAUAUAUAGUAGUCAUAAUGACUAUCUCGUGGAUACAAGGAGCGCUUAAAUCUAACUUCGUAUAAAUAAGUUAUGUUUCUUCAAAGUUUUGCGAUUAAACCGACACAUCUAUGCGCAUCAUCAAAAAGAAUUAAAUCGGAGAUAGGUUGUUUAUUAGCCUAAGUAAUUGUUUUGGUCAAAAAUCGAUCAAGUGUAAUUCGACCAAAUUGUAUGAGAGGAUGUGGGGUUAGUAUAAUGCAAGUACAAAAUAAUGAUCAAAGUGAGACAAGUGAGUUACAAGGAAAGCCCUUGAUCCUUUAUAGGAUCCCCGACAUAAAACCUUGGGAUUUGAUAAUGAUCACUUGCCUUGAUGUGUUUUAUUGAUUUAAAUAUGAGAUUACAAAGAUGAUGAAUGUAAUAGGAGUAUAAGUGUAAUGUUAGAGCUAAUCGUGUGUGUAGUGUGCGAUUUAUAGGCGUUAUUUAUAAUCUUAGUUAAUCAACAAGAAGUCCGAGAUUUUCGAGAUCCUCCUUGAGCUGGUAUUUGCACAUUGUUUGACUUAGUAUCCUUGGGUCUUAAGCUUGUUUGAAGUAACUUUCCGUUGAGAAUGAGUCUUGUGUUGACUAGUUAUGCACAUGUGAGAAAAAUAAAGAAGAAUAUAGUUGUUAUAAGUAUUAGGAAAUAGUAGUGGUAAUAAUCAAGAUCCUGAGAUAUUUUUAAGGAUCCUGAGGCUUCAGAAAUGUUUAGGAUCCUGAAUAUGAUUCAAGGAUCCUUCCCCCAACAGUAAUCUAAAUGGAAGUCAUAGUAAUCGUAAAAGUAAGAACGUACAUAUAAAGAAUGCCUAAAUCUAACUUCGUAUGAGGAAGUUAUGAUUUUUCGAAGUUUUAGUAUAGCAGUGUAUGAUGUAGAAAUCAAAAUUUAGAUCGGUUGAGUGUUAGCCAAAACAAUAUAAACGAGAGUUGAAGAUCUCAUAAAUAUGAACCCGUCGAUAUAAAGAAAGUCAAGAACGGAGUUCAUAUGAAAGAGUUAUGAUUUUCACACAGACUUUAACAAUCUAAUCUCUAUAAAAAAUGUGAAUUUAAAAUGAAGUGAGAAUUAGUAGUUGAGACCCAAACGAAAGUUGUAAAGCUCGCCAAGAGGAUUCCGAGGAUAUAAAGAACAUCGAAAACAAAGAUCGUAUGGGAAAGUUAUGGUCGUUCGAAGAUUUUAGGAAUUUACUUGUUGUGAUGUUGGGGCACCACCACGAGGCAGCACGUGGAACGGUCGGCAACCCCUUCCUCCGAGAGGCACGAUGAUGUGGCACCACGAGGUUGUGACACAUGGUGUCACAAUAAGCUAACACGUAGCGAGUUUUUUAGAAGAAAUGAGGUGGACCUCUAGAAUGACAACAUGUGGCGGAAGUCGGAUGGGUAAGCAUUACAUUGACGCACGCUGCGCCUCUUGUCUACACGUGUCGAGUGGUGUGUCUCUAUAUCUACCCUCUGAUUUUUCAUUCAUUGCACACAAAUUUCCAAUAUCUUUCUCUUUGAGACAUUCCUCUUUCUUGAGUUUUAUUUUUGGGUAUCUUGGAAUAUUUUAGCAAGACCCCAGAGUCUCUUAGAACCUAACAAUUAUAAGUGUGAGGGUCAGAGUUGUGCUCGCGUAAAUUUUUCAGUUUUUUGUAAGUUGAGCUACACUUACUAUGCUUUAAGUGUAACUUUGUUUAAGUUCAUUAUCAUUAUUAUGAACCUAUAAACAAGAUUUAUCAGUAAUUCCAUGUCAUAAUACUCUUUGAUCUACUUACGGGAGUGAAAUCUAGGCUAAAUCUAGUGAGGUGUUUAAAGUGGAAUUUCCAAAUAGUAUACUCUUUAUACCAAACAUACCUUACCUCCAAUAUAAUUUUACAUGGAUGUUCCUUAUCAUCUAUAGAUAAGUAUUCAUUAGGAUUAUUGAGGAAUCUAGACUAUUGUUACUAUAGUCACCAUGAAUAUCAGAGUAAGACGUAGUGAUAUUCAUACCUAGGUCAUAGCAAAGGAAACUCUAAAGUACUAGGCGAAACAUUGUCCAAAUUUCUAGUCAUCCACUUUUAACAAGUGAGUGCAUAGUUACUUUAAUCUUACAUAAAGAUAUGAAGUAUUUAGAUACUUAAAUGUUAUGUGUGCUUAUUAUUUGUGAUUAAUAUAUUUUGUGCUAGAUGAACAAUAUGAUAUGAUUUUUAUUUAACCAUAUACGUAUUUUCAUAGUUAUAAUAUAUGGGGUAGUGAAGGGUAAUGAUAGAUGAAAAUAAAGGAUUAGAGACCAUGACUUUUACUGUUCUAUUGUACUAGCGAUGUAGUCAUCUAGUAAGAUAUAGGGGACGACCACAUACUAUUCUAAACAAGUCUAGUGAAACAUGGACAUGCUUCCAACCUGUAGAUGUUUAUAAACCAUACACUGGCAGGUUUACAACAUGUUUCAAUAGACUUGUUUAGAAUAGUCUGUGGUCGUCCCCUUUAUUUGUGAAAAACAGUUCUUCCGAAAUAUAAUUCAUUUUAUAGCAUAUAAUUUUAUAAUGAAUAUACAAUAUUUUCAUUUUUUGUAUUUUAUUUUUUAUAACUAUAAAUUAUACUUUUUUUGUAUUUUAUGUAUAAAAAUAAAGGUACGUAUUGGUAUUUAUAUUUUUUGUAAUGAAAUAUAAUUCAUUUUAAAAAUGUCUAAUUAAAUGAGGAGGUUUUAUAUAAAAUUUUAUAUAUUAGUUAAAUUUAAAGAAUGUUAUUGGAAGAUGUUAAUUACUAGAUAGAUCUUUUAAUUAUAUGUUAAAAUUAUUGAAAUGAAAUCAUCACAUCGAUGGUCUAAUGGUAGAAAAGCUUUAUAAUCACUCACAAAAAAGGAUUGACCCAAGUUCAAUCCCCGCAUGUUAAAAUUAUUGAAAUGAAAUCAUCACAUUUAUGAGUCAGUUUGGGGUUAUUGGACUUAGGUUGCCAUUUUUGGGACUAAAUCACCAUUUGAUGCCAUUAUGUUAAUAUAUAAGCAUCAAGUUUCGAGCUUUACGUGACUUUCAUGAUUGGGAAGGCCAGAUCUGUGGAUUAGGGGCACAUAUCUGACGCCAGGAGGUCAAUAGAGAUGGUGCAUGGCAUGAACUCACCGAGUUGUUCUUGAGACUCGACGAGUAGGGUUAGGGUUUCACAUGAAUAGCUCUGUGAGUAGACUUGCCGAGUUGGGGGAUAACUCAGUGAGUCAGAAGGGGUUAGAGGAUUGGGGUUAAAGGCGGUACUCGCCGAGUUAUUCUUAAGACUCGGCGAGUUGAGUCGGGGUGGCCACGCGAUUCAUGCCAGGUGUGACUCGUCGAGUAAAGAGAAGGACUCGGCGUGCCAAGAGAGGGACUAAGAGAAUCAGUGGACACGUGUAGACUCGCCGAGUCGCCCAAGUGCACUCGACGAGUUGGGUCAAAGUUUGACAGUUGACUUCUGUUGACUUUAGGGUUUGGUCAACAGUGAGGCCUUUGAGCCAGGAGAGGGGUAAAAUGGUCUUUUACCCUUUUGAGGAUGUUAAGAAAGGUUGGAGUAUAGUUAUAUUUAUGGGAGUAUUUUCUUUAUGUGAUUAGGCGGAGGCUAGAUCACGUUUCUACUGAGAUAGAGACUUACCGAGAUAUCAGAGGUGAGUCUUUUCACCAUACUGUACCUGGAAAGGUACCUAUGUGUGACCGAAAGGUCUUGUAUGCUAUGAGUUGCAUGUUUUGUAUGUGUUAUGUAUGUGAUAUGGGCUGGAAAUCAUUAUGACGUGGACCAGAAGGUCAGGGAGUCAUGGACCGGAAGGUCGAUAUAAGUAGGACCCGAAGGUCUACUGGGACUGGGACGGAAGUCCCCUGAGACACAUGGACCGGAAGGUCGUGUAGAGUAUGGCCUGGAAAGGCAUAUGUGUGUAAGGGUAUUUUGGGGAACUCAUUAAGCAUUUAUGCUUACAGUUAUUGUGUUAUGUGUUUCAGGUACAAGCGAGGACCGUGGAAAGGCGCCGACGUGACUCGUACACACUAGAGAGAGGAUUUGACUUUUUGUGAUCUUGGGAUACGAUAUGUGUUGAUAACUAUUACUGGAUAUUUUAUAAAACAUUUUAUGUGAAAAUGGUUUUGACAAAAUGAAAUUUUUGUUUUGAAAUUUACGUUGUUACAAUAUGUUAUUAAGGUGUUGAAAGUAAUGAUAUAAAAACUAGGAUGUGGUAAUGAUUUUUGUCAUAGGAUUGAUUAAUCAUAUGAUAUGUUAUUAAGGUGUUGAAAGUAAUGAUAUUAGGUUGGACGGAGUGGGAGCGGAGAAGCCUGCGGGAACCUUCCCACCCGGCUGAACACCGCAUCGUCGGUGCGGGGAAGGGAGGUGCAGGAAACGGAGAGGGGUGCCUCUCCCGCUCUCUCUCUCUCUUGUUGCGAUUGGUUGUAAUUUUUUAUUUAUUUUUUUUUUGAAAUUGAACCGUUACUCAAUGCUUAAAAAGUAAUUUUUUUUGCUGCAACCGCUAACUCUUUUUUUUUUUUUAACCUUUUUCCACACCUAUAAAUACAUAUAUAUUUAACAUCACAAUAUUCACACUACCCUCUUUUCUCUCUAUUUUGUUCUAAAAAAAAUGAAUCCCGACAAUCAAACCCCAACUUCCGAUCGAAGGAAAAAAAGUCAUGGUUCGGGUAUAAAAAUCCAUUCUCGAACUAUUUUUGCUAUCGAUUCAUCCCCGCAAGGAGUUUACCGUCCCCAACUCAAUGCUCCCAUUCAAUCCUCACUACAAUUCUAAUACCAAAAUGUUGGACAAUAUUACCCGAUGCAAGUUCCAAAUGUUCUGCCACAAAUGUUUUCAAACUUUGUUGUGUUUCCGGAUCAAAAUUCGUCAAAUCAACCUCAACCCCAAACUCAACUCAAACUCAAACCCAAAUCCAACAACAACACCAACUUAUCGAUGAGUCGGAUGACGCGGAAGAAGAAGACAUGGUUCCCGAAACUCAACCAACACCACCCCCACAAACACGUAAAGGGAAAAAAAAACAAUCGCGCAAGGGUGUCGCGCAACCGAGAAGACAAAAGCCGACAACAUGGCUUCCACACGAAGAGCUAGUUUUUUUCAAAGCUUGGGUUGACAUUUCUAAAGAUUCGAUUCACAGAAACGCACAACCAGGAGACCAUUUUUGGUUUCUCAUUUUAGAACAAUUUCGAGAGGAGCUAGAAAAAGUGACGACUACCGUACGAAACAUCAACUUAAUUCAAAGUUUCGAGAAAUAGCAAAGGGGGUUUCAAAAAUAAACAGGUUGUACAACAACCUAAAAACUCAACGAAAAGCGACCAAGGCGACGGACAAAUACUUUAAGAAGCGUUGUAGUUUUACCUUGAGGAAGUCGGAAAACCAUUCAAGUGGCUCGAUUGUUGGAAAUUAUUGGUUCGAAGUCUUAGGUUGAAAAAAUACGAGCAAAAUUUUAUGUUUGGAGUCCAACAAUCAAAGCGAACGAAAACGAACUCUAGUGGUUACACAACCUCCUCCGAUGCUUGGGUCGGUCUAGAUUUAAAUCAGGACGACGAACUCGAACUAGAAGAAAUUGCCUGCCCAAUGGGUAGGGACAAAGCGAAGAGAAAGGGAAAAGAGACUUCUUCGAGUGCAUUUGAUUUUAGUGUGGACAUUGACGAAAUGCGGAAGAUAACAUCGUCGUUUGAUCGAUAUAAUCUAAAUUUCUCCGAUCGUUUGAACUUUCGACAAAGAAAAAGAAGAAACAAGGAAAAAGGAGCGGGCGGAGAGACAAGAAAUGGAGGACAUGAAGUUUUUGAUGGAAAACGUUUAUCAUCUCUUGGGACCGGCUCUCAAGCUGGUGAUGAAAAAGAGAGAAAAAAAUUCUGAAAAAAUAUUUUCCGUAGGUCAUUGUUGGUUUGUUUGAUUUUUAGUUUGUGUGUGUGUGUGUUUUAAUUUUCUUGUUUUUAAAAUUUUAGGUUUAAUGUAAUUUUUAUUUUAAUUAAUGAAAUGCUUUUUAUUUUUAAUUAAAUUUUAUGUUUAGUAUUAAUUUAAAAAUUCUAAUUCAUAACAAAAAAAUAUUAAUUUUAUUUAAUAAAAAAAAGUGAGGGAAUGGCUUCCCACCCAUUCUUUGGGUUUUAAGUGAGGGAAAGAAAAGUCAGGGAAAGGAGGGUGUGGCCCACAAAAAGUAAGGAAAGCUUCCCUCCCACUCCUUCCGGUCUUAGAUAAAGUGUUGAAAAUUAAUUUUAACUAUUUCAAAGUAUUUGUGGUUCAAACUUGUUAGGUCCAGUUAAGUGUUGCGUCUUUGGGCUCGUUAGAUAGUCCAGUUUUGUCUCCGGUAUGGGCCUGUCCAUCCGUGAGUUGUUUUUGUAGGGUUUAUUAUAUAUAGAUGCUUGCAUGCAUUCUUUAANUAACAAGAUUGAGAAGAUUUGAUAGAGAUUUUAUAGCGUACAAGUUCAUAUCUUUUGUAACCCUAGAAUCCUCUACAACGGAAGUUCUUCAUCGAGCUCUGCUGAGGAUUGAGUUAAUCAAAUCAUUCGACUCAUUCAGACCCAUUCUUGUGUUUUUGUCUUACUGUUAUUACUUUCUUGUUUUGCCUGUUAUAAGAUCUAAUCAAUCUAGAGUUUUGUAAACUCAUCAAUUGGUAUCAGAGCAGGAGGCGGCGUAAUUCAUACACAUCUCUUUUGUGAAAGAAGUGAUUAGGGUUAUUCCGCACUAACUGAUAUUUAUUGAGCUGUCACUCCAUAAUUGACGUAUCUUAGUAUUUAUUCGUUUUGCCCUAAUAUUACAUAUUACAAGUCUGAUCUUUCAAACAGGUUAAUCGAUCAAGCAUGGACGAUUCUCAAUCUAAUCCUAUCAACAUCUCAAACAGUAUUGGAUCAACAACAAAGAUUCCUAUUCUUUACACCCAGGAUUACGAAGUUUGGGCGCAUCAUUUUGAAGACUAUGUCAUCGGAUCUGAAGAUAAUGGGUAUCUUAUAUGGGAAGCUAUUGUGUCUGGACCAUUUGCUCAUUCAGGAACAUCCAGAAUCAUUAAAACUCAGAAAGAGUAUAAUGAUCUGUUAAAAGAUGUGAAAGACGUGGCUCAAGACGGAAAUGAGAAGUUUCAGUGCAACAUCAAAGCAUUGAGACUGAUCCUGUUCGCUCUUCAGUCUGACACUUUUAGGUUGGUGAGUUCCUGCAGUACAGCUAAAGAAAUCUGGGAUCAGCUGCGAGAGCUGUAUUCCAUAGAUGAAGAUUUGGAGCACUCUAUUCAGACCUUGCUUUUGUCUGAGUUUGGUGAGUUCAAGCAAAAUUCCGAUGAGUCCGUCACUCAGACGUUUGAUCGCUUCAAUCAUCUUCUUAGCAAGAUGAUCAAACAUGAUAUCGAAAGGAAGUUGAUUGAAUAGAAAGUCACCUUUCUGAAUGGCUUAAGAUCCGAAUGGAGAGUUGUCGUGUCUACAGGUAAAGCUCAUGAGCAGUUCAAGUCUUAUUCGUUGGCAAAACUGGUGGGAAUUCUCAAAUCUCAAGAAAACAUUGUGAUGCAAGAGAAAAGUGUGGUCUCAAACUUGGGGUCCUUGGCCCUCCUGUCCAAAAGCAAUAAUGUAGUAGAAAAUGAAGAUCUGAACCUAGAGGACUACGAUCUUACUUCAGAAGAUUAUGCUAUAAUGGUGUCCAAUCCAAAAAGGUUAAUCAAGAAGAGGUUUCCUACCAAUAAGAACCGAAAUUGGCAGGGAAGCUACAGCUCAGAAAAAGUAAGGGAGGAGCCAAAGACUGAGGAACCAAAGAAAGAGGCGAAGGUUGAAGGAGAUUUUGGUGUCAACUGCUACUACUGUGGAGGAAAGAAUCAUUAUGCCAAAGAUUGUGUUCUGAAGAAAAUGGCAGAGAAAGAUGAGGAGAAAGAUGAAGAGGCUGUCUUGAUGAAAAAGCUGGAAGAGAUCAAGAGGAAGAAAGCUGUUGCUAAUCCUUCUAUGAAUGCUCUUAUUGUACAGGGUUUGGAAGAGGAUGACGAGUUCGGUGGAGUGCAAGUGUGGUCAACCGACUCAGAAGAUGAUGAGGUGAGAAAGCCUUCGCAUGGAAAGGCGUAUGUCGCAAGAGGUGGUGAAAGCAGUGGAAAGUGUCUGAUGGUGACUGACGUUUCUCACAUGAGAGGAUACAAUACAGAUGGUGGAAAUGAGGACACCAAGGAGCAAGAGGACUUAUGCUUCACAGCAAAACCUCUCAGUGUGCAGAUCAAUGAACUUGAUGAAUUGAUCAAGAAGGUACAAUCUCUUUUUAUCUCGUUCAAAGUUCCACAGAAAUCAUAUGAAAAGGAAUUAAAUAACUUAAAUUCAAGAAUCUCAAAUCUGGAUAGUUGUUUAACUCAAACACGGGUCACCAAUUCUAACCUAACUGACCAAAUAAGCAGGGUGUCAUCCAAGAGUGAGGAGCGAAGGAUGUGGAUUGAGCAGAAGGAGUCGGAGCUGAUUAAGUCUAAGGAUGAAAACAUUUAUUUACAAAGAGACAAUUUGAAACUUUUAAAACAAAGGAAUGUUUUUUGUUUGAUUGCUAAAACACUUUAUGCUAACAUUAGUCAACUGCAUCUAAAUUGUGAAAUAGGGCAGAAAAUACAUCGCAUGAUUUUGCCCUUCCUUAAGUUUAAGGAGGAUGAAAUCGAUGCUGAAGCAUACAACUGUGAAAGUGUUGUAUCGUGUGAUGAUGUGAAUCCCACUUACGUGUACGGUCUGGACAAAAUAGAAUCUUUCAUAAAGUCCAAAGACCAUAAGGACAUGCUGAAAAAUCUUUUGGAUGAAAACGAUAAGCUGAAACUAAGGACCGAAACCAUACAAAAAUUCGACUCAUUGAGUGCCAAUUUAAGUUCAGAAAAUAAAAUUGAUGUUGAAAACGCAUCUGAACUUAAUGAGGACGAUGAUAUGAGUGAAAUUUCUGUAGAGGAUGUAGUCGACUGUUCUGAGUUUGUCAAGAGCGAACCCGAAAACCACAAAAAUCUGAUUUCUGAAAAUUCUGUGGAGUUCGCUCGUUUGUCCCAAAAUAAGUCCCCGAUUCUUGAAGAAAAGGCUGUUGUGUACCAAAAGGUGAGAACAACACCAAAUCANCGCUCAUUGCGCGUCGUAAAAGGCUCAGACGACACGCAAAUGCGCGUCAAGGAAGGCCCUGUCAUAAAGAGAGAUGACGCGCUUUUGCACGUCGUCUAUAGACGACGUGCAUUUACGACGCACGUUUACGACACGCAAUGCGUAUCAAGGAAGGCCCUGUCAUAAAGGAAGACGACACGCAUUCGCGUGUCGUAACCUUACAACGCGCAUGUUAAUGACAUGCAAUGCGUAUCAAGAAAGCCCCUGUCAAGAAAGGCCAUGUCAUAAAUGAAGAUGACCCACAUUUUUGCGUAUCAUAAUUUUAAAAGUUUAAAAAAAAUAUUACUUAUGGAUUUACUAAUUUUUAAAUUAAAUAAUACAUUAAAAAUCUCAUAAUACAAAAUAAAAUAUCAUAAAUAACAAAGAUAAUUCAUUUCACUAAUAUGUCAAAUACAAAUAAUUAUUCCAAUAGUGAGUAAAUGUUAUAAAAAAAUGAACUCAUUUAUAUACAAUUGCAUUAUCUAGCUUACUAUGUGCCAACAACUCUCCGUGUGUUUACUUUUGCUUGAGUCUUCAUUCCUCCAAAGCUUCUAGCCAUGCCAAAACAUGAUAUCUUAAAUUCAUCAACUCCUUGGCAUGAAGUCUUAGAUAGAAGCUUCACUACAAUCUCCAAUCCUUCUAGCAGACCCUAAAGAUCAUUAUUGGCCAUGUAGCAGGAUCAGCCUGCAAUCUCUUUUCUGCCUUCUUAUUACUUGCAGCAUCUUCUAUCUCUUUGACCAAGGUUGUGCCUUCAGCAGCAACAUGCUGCAUUGCAUCAAAAAGAUAAAAACAAAUGACAACAAAUACAAAUAACUGCAUUCUACUUCAAAAAAAAUACAAACUUGUUUAAUUCGUGCACACAUACUACUAGAAAAACGCUCACACCAUUGUCUGUAAUUGUAGAAGUAUAAAAUUUGAACAAUUAGACACUAUGAAUCCACCAAGGACUCCUACAUGUUCAUAGUCUUUAACAAAAUGUAUAAGUAAAAAGCACAUGCAAUAGAUGUUAACAAUAAUGAUCAUAAUCAUACCUGAAGCUCAUGUUCUGCAGCAGACCUGUAACCCAAGAUAUCUUCUAUAUCAGAUACUUUCUCUAUUUGGUCCAACUCCAAAACAAUUUCAUCAUCCAGAGGCUGAUCAUGAUUCAUAUACACCAAAUAAUGUUUGAAUCAUAUACACCAUUUAAUGUUUAAAUCAAGAAAACUAUAUGUGUAAUGACUAAUGACCUCACCUGCUCUUUUCGUAGACAUUCCAGUUUCAACUUGUACAACUUAACAUAUCGUCUUUUUCUGCCUCUGUACAAGUAAAAGAUUUUAAAAGGUUUAAGAUUUCAAGCAUUCCAUGAUGAAAAUGCACACAACAAAUAGUAUAACAUGGUAGAUCAUAGAUGUUAAUCUUGAAGAAAGAACAACUUACAAACGUUCUCCUAAUUAUUUCCAUGAAGUUUUCUUCAUUCUUUUACGAACAUCAGAUAACACAGAGUUUUGAGCAUAACGCCACCAUUGCAUCUGCCAUCCCAAAGGUCUUUAUGAUAUAGGUAUCCCCCAAGGGCGAUAUCGUCCAUAUCUAAAAACACUAAAAGACCAAUGUGCCUCACAAUCUGAAAGUGUAAUUAAAAAAAGGAUAACACUGAUGAGACACCAUUCCACUUACUUCUCUCUUAGCUGACAAGUGUAUAGAUAAUCAUACAGAUACAAUAUUUGCUGCAAUUGAUCUUCAUCAAGGGACAAGACCUAAAAGUUGGUGACAUGCUGACAUGUCAGUUGAAUUUGAUGUAAUCUGACCUAAUAAACUAAUAAAUGAUUAAUUAGUUACUUAUAAUUACAAAAGUUAAGAAACUAACUAAGCCAGAUAACUCGAUAUCAACCGAGUAUUGUGCUGCAUUAUUCUCAAGCCUUCCAGACCUGUUCACCUGCAAUGUACAAUAGUAAAAAUCUAUCUAAUGUGCAAAGUACAACAACUCUAAAUUUGUUAUGAGAUGAUGCAUACCGAAAGAGAAGCAGAUACAUCAAUUGGGGACAACAAGUGAUCAUGUUCAUUAUUUUGAAAGCUUUCAGCAACCAUUGACAUGGAUUCUUCAGGGCGUGCUUUUUUAGUUAAUCUUGCAUGCUUUUUAUGCUUUACAACCUUUUGUUGCUUGAUUUCAGAGUUCAUUGGCCCAAUCCUGCAAUACACAAACAUAACUUUAGAGAAAAAGUGUGUGUGUGUGUGUGAGAGAGAGAGAGAGAGAGAAAGAGAUUGGUUGCGAACCAAUCAAGAACAUACAAUAAUACAAACAACAACCCCCACCAAGCUUCUUAUUUUUCUUUUUUAAUUUAAAAAUAAAUAAAUAAAAAGGAUACCUGCAAAGGACAGCAUGGGGUAUUGUUAAGCAACAUCGUUUAGGCUUGAGAGAGGCAAGGCAACUCAGCAGCAGCUGUGGCAGUAAGUGAUGCAGACAGUUGAGAUUGUAUUCAACCAAUCAUAGGGACAGGCUGUCCUACUCCUACUCAUUCGUUUGCUAUCGACUCAUUCACUACAACUGGACCACCAUUGUGGCCUUCUUGAAUCGAGUCUUGUGGUUGAAGGAGAGGAGAAGAGAGGCAAGGGCAUUAAUGGUAUUUUUGUUGCUAAACUUAAACGGUCUAUGCCAUGCAUAUUGCCCAUAUAUACAGCAGGAGGGGGAUAAUGCAGAUAAUCUAGAGAUAUGUUCGGGCAUAUAAAAAAUGAUAAGGGGUGUACCUCAAUCAAACAC